RNAcentral lists this long non-coding RNA (55663 nucleotides) under Ananas comosus (pineapple). Its description in RNAcentral is "long non-coding RNA (ACOM_LNC008218)". The record is from RNAcentral. Lineage: Eukaryota; Viridiplantae; Streptophyta; Magnoliopsida; Poales; Bromeliaceae.
UUGCAUUGACAAUUUAUAGUCUAAAUUAUUUCUUACCACAGGGGUUUUGAUUCUUGACCUCGUUUACGGCACCAUAGUCUCUCCAAUCAAUACUUUGAGGCACCGCGGAGAUGUUUACGUCAUCAAAUGACACCACUGGCUCUCUCUCGAUAUUUAGUGGGAGAGAUACGCCGGUAUAUUGAGCAACAAAUUCGCUUUUUGUCAUAUCGGUAAACUGAUUGAUACCGAGAGUGUACGAAUUUCCGUUGCGACUGUUAAAGGUUUCGAUAUGCUUCACGUUGUUCUUGAAUAUCUGAAACCGGCGCAUCUUCUCGUCGUCGUCCUUGUAAACUCGGCCGUACUCCGCCAUCCAUUCUUCAAACCGCUUCAUCAUGGGAUCAUUGGGUUCGUCACGAGAAGCUGCCGAUGGCGAAGCCCACAUCGCACAGAGAAACAAGAAAAGAAACACGAGUUGAACUUUGGAAGCCAUGCUUAUGUAGCACUAAAUAUCUAGUAUAUGUAUGAGGAACUUGGAGAUUGAGCUACAAGAGCUUUUGUUGCUGAGAGUAUGGUCUCAAGAUCGAGUUUAUAUAGAAGUUCAUGCCUUCGAAUGUACGGGGGAGAAUUAAUGGGUGGGGGCCUACAAGACGUCACAAAUCGCCAUCAAAUUAAGAUUAAAUAGUUCUGGACGGCUUGCGACACCACAUCGUGUGGUCACUAGUGUAGUGAUCCGCGCAUUACGCCGAGUAGAUACUAUUAAAAUAAAAUUUUGUAUAAAAUAAAAUAUUAGUUUAGUAUGAAAAAAUAGUAAAUAUAGUCUAUAUUAUAAACAAACACUUCUAAACAAAAUAAAACUAAAAUGAAAAAAAAUUAAUCGUUUCAAUAAAAUUAUUCAAGCUUGUUAAAAAAAAAAUCGCAUAUCAUACAAAUGGAUGAUUAAAAUUAAUUUUAUAAUACAAUAAUCAGUUAAAAUAUCAUAUAGCAGUUGAUAUGACUAAAAAAAAACUCACAAUAAUUAAUAUGCAAGACAAUUAAUAUAUACAGAGAUAAUGUGAAACCAUAUAUACAUUAUGAGGAGAUGAUGUGAAGCCAUACAUCCUUACGUGUCUGUCGAGGUCUUGAAGUGCGUGAUGUUGAAAAUAAUUAUUACAACAGAAUUACAUUAUAAGAACACAUUUUCAGAACACUUUUGUGUAAUCAUAUUUAUACUAAAAUUUUUAAAAAAAAUUUAGUAAGAUCUAAAUAUAAAGCGCAAUUCAAUUAAAAACAAAAAGUCUCCUACUCAACUAGCCGCACUCAGCCCACUCGGUCUACUCGGCCUGAUUACAAAUAGAAAAAAAUAAAAAUAAAAAAUUGAUCACCAUCUUCUCUUCUCCUCCUCCGCCGUCGCAGCAUCUUCUCUUCUCCUCUGUCGCCGCAACUGACGAGGUAGAAUUCCGGCGGCUGGAGUUCGGUUGCGAGAAUCUCGCAGGGACCGUCGAGGGCUAUAAUCGCCACAUGUCCUUCUGUCACAGUUUGCUAGAGGAGUGAGUGACAAACAUCAAAUCUGCCAUACAUAUAACGACCCCACAUAGAAUAACACUUUUAAAAGUGUCGGUAAUUUAGCUAACAUCAUUUUUUUUUACCUAUACUGAAAUUUAGAAGUGUCGCUAUGUACCGUUUUUGUUGUAAUAUUAAUGGAGGGGGAACCUACGGUUUCGAACGGAUUGUUGCUUGUAAUCUAAAAAUUUUAACACAUUCUCAAGAAACAUCAACAAAACUUUUAUUAAAAUUUAAAAAGGAGGGUGAAAGAUCAAACGGUAAAGGAGAAGAGUAAAAAAAAAAUAAUGUUAGCUCUUUAAGCCUUAUUAAAUCUAAAGAAAAGAAGAAAAAGUUAAAAAAAAAAGUAGACCCUACUAAUCCUAAAAUUUAGUCAUAAAGAUUAAUGUAUAGAUAUAGUAGUAUAGAUAUUCUAAUCACAAAAAUAUUUAAGUUUCUCUACUUUUGUCACAUUUUAACUUUAUAAUUUCUUUCGUAGGACAUUAAGUGACUAAAUAGAACUCGACGUACCCCUACUCGUCAUGAGAUCAUCUUAGGUGCAAGCAAAAGGAACGUACGUUUCUCCAUUUCUAUCUUUUGACUCUCUAAAUUUAAUCUUUCGUGCAUAACUUCUUGUCUAUUUUUCUGUUGCUUAAGCACAACGCAGAAAAUAAAAAGACAAGUGGUUUAGCCCAUUAUAAAUUUAUAUAGAAGCCUAGUAUCAUUCAAACUCGAGGCUACGUCAUCUGAUAUUAUGUAAAACUAGUGUAGAGACUCGCGCGACGCAGCGGAUAGAUAAUUGAAAUAAAAUUUUAAAGUUUUAAUAAAAUUUAUAUUUACAGCUUAUUGAUGUAUAGAAAGCUAUACCAUAUUAAGUACAACCAAUUUGCAUGACUAAAUUUAAUUUUUAAAAAUUUAAAAUUAUAGUUAGAAACUUAUAUAAUUUUUUUUAAAAUUAUCGAAAUAUAGUAAGAGACAUACAAUUUUAUCAUAUUAUGUAACUUUUGAACAUUCCAUUGUAAAAGAUAAAAAAGAGCCAGCUCUAGUUGUAUCAAGCACUUCUGUCCAAGUAUCAAAACAAAUUGAGAAUAUGAAACACAUAAACAAUAAGUUAACGUAUCUGGCUUAAGAAAAUUUUGGGUGAGAUCUCAGGUUCCAAUCUCCAGUUCUCCACAUCAUACUUUUUAGUUUACGAAAGGGACUUUACCUACAACAGUGCCUACUCAAAAAAGUGGUCAUGGGAUGAAAAUAAAAUAAAAACAUAAAUUAAAAAAAACUAAUAAUUUUUGGAGCACUUCUUCAUCCACACGAGCUUGCUCAUCCAAACCUUAUAUAUCUUCUUAAAUUCAGCUGGUAGUUGCCCCCCUCGUCGAGUCGCUUUUGGAUUUCUAUUGGGAUUUAUGAACAAACACCUCAUCUGCAUUACCAAACUGUGAUAUCUAAACCGAUAUAGCCUUAUUAUCACAUCAACCACAGAAAUUCUAAUUCUAAAAUAAUUUGGAUUUACUAAGAAGUUCCUGCGAUUCUCAAGAAGCGAGCUCCCGCGCAGCGUCCCCUUGAAGAGGUGGCUUAGAACGCCGCUCGCCUCGGCCCAGUUGUGGGUGCACGCGAGCUGCGCGAGGAGGCAGCCGAGGCAGUGGCGGUUCACAGCUAGCUGCUCGGCUUCGCAGGAUGAUAAUUCUCGAAGGAAGCAACGUUCUUUGCAGGCUUUUCUUCUUCUUCUUUUUCUUUUUCUUCUUCAUCGUCCUCAUUAUUUUCAUUAAUGCAAUGAGAGAGAGAGAGAGAGAGAGAUGAGCGUUGUGGUGGGAGAUUAGAUGAUAAUGUUGCAUGAAAAAUAUCAGGUCAUGCAAAAAGUAGAGGGCGGGGGAAUUAAUGGAGGAUGGGAGUUGAUUGGAGUUACAAAACCCACUCAUUAAUGGAGGAGUUACAAAGCCCACUCAUUAGUAGGGGGCGGGAUUAAUGAAGGAGGGGAGUGGACUGAAGUUAUAAAACCCACUCAUUAGUAGAAUAUCAUGUAUGUAAUUAAAUAUUACAUCAUGAAUUAAUUAAUUAAUUUAAUUUCAAGGUGAGUGCUAGAAAAAUCACCUGUGGAAGAGAAAGAGCCAAGAAAGAGCCAAUGAAGAAGGUAGCGCCUCCGUGAUUUAGUAGAUUUUUACUUUGUUUUUCUGUAGUUUAAAAGUUGCACUUAAUUAUCAUAUAAUUUUAUUUUUAUUUUACCGAUAGAAUUUUGACAUAAGUUAGCAAAGUAAAUUUUUUUUAAAAAAAAAUCAUAAAGUGAUAUCCUGCUUAACAAUAAAUUCUUACAAUAAAAUAAAAAUAAUAUUAGUAGAAUAGUUAAGUACUAGUGUAGUGACCCGCGCGAUGCAGCAAAAAAAAAUAUUUUAAUAAAAAUUUACAAAUUAAACAAAUAAAUAUGAAUGUAAAGAAGAAAAAAAAUAUAUAACUAAAUUUGAUUAGACUUAAUAAUAUAAAAAACACAUUAAAAAAUAUUUAAAAUGGAAUCACAACUCAACAAAAAAUAAUAAAAGAAACCGAAAAAAAAAUAAGAAUUAUAUGAGAAGAAAAAUUAUUACAUAGAUAUUAUAAAAAAAAAUUGAAAUAUUGCAAGUGAAAGAUAACAAAUAUUAAAGAGCACACUGAAAAGAUUUUAAUUGACAUUUAACAAAUCAAAUAAACAGAUUCAUCCAUUCAAUUCUUUUUUUGACGCAAAUAAAAUUUUUUUAAAAAAUCAAUAGUGAAGUGACCCCAGCAUUAUAUAUAUAUAUAUAUAUAUAUAUAGACACACACACGCGCGACAUCGACGCGAUAUUUUAAUUAUUAUAUAAUACACCAUGAUAAUAAUCCAAUAUUAUCAGUAUCACAUUAGUGUCGGCUUGUAUUUAAGAGGAAAAAUAUAGAAACCAACAAUAAAACCAACAAUAAAAAGCCCAUUGAAUAAGCUUCCCAGGAGAAAAAAAUCCCCAUAAUAAUAUUGGAAAAAAUAUUCUAAACAUUCAAGACAAAAAAGAAUCAUCUCUCUGAAACAAAAGGAAACUUUUCAAAAAGUUAGAACGAAUUAAAACAAACAUAAAAUGUGCCAAAAAUAAAAAUAAAAAAACAUCCAAAAAUGCUUUCCUAAGCUCCAAGCGAACAACAAAUUAAAUGUGAAAAACGAAAAAAGAAACUACUGCUAGAAGUAGAGCUAUAAGGAAUCGAACCUUCUAUUCUAUUGAGCUCUCAAUUCAACAGGUGGAAGGUCAAUAAUCCUACAAAAUUUUGUUGAAGUACAUGCAUUCAAUUGUGGUUUUAUUGGGAGAUGAGGAGGGAACGGUUUUGGAAGAUGAGGGGUUUUGGAAGUUGGGAGAUGAGAGGGAAUAGUUUUGGUGCAAUUAUAUGCAUUCAAUUGUGAUUUUAUUGGGAGAUAAGGAGGGAACGGUUUUAAAGAUGAGGGGUUUUGGAGGUUGGGAGAUGAAAGAGAGCAGUUUUGAAAGAAGGAGAUAACGCCAUGUCAGCAAGAUAUUGGGGAUUCAUGGAUUAGUAUACACAUAUAACUUUUCAAAUCAUCGUAAAAAGUGAAAAAAAUAUUAAACAACAGUAAGAAAAAUUAAAAUUUACCUAAUUUAAUUCAUCACACUAAUUGGAUCCCAAUUCAUUCAUUUCCAUGAUCCAAAGAUUCUACAAUCUCAUUCUCUCAACGAUAUGUGCGUACAAAUUAAACUUAUAUAUGUUACACCAAAAGUCAAAUCAGGCAUUAUAAUUUUUUAAACUUUAUAAAAUUAUAUCAAACAAAUUAAAUUUUAAUUUGUUUUUUAGAGGAAAAUAUAAUUAGUUACAUAUUUUGUUCAUUUUGAGAUCAUUUUUUAUCCCCGAGUAAAACCUAAUAAGAGAUGUAGUGCCAAUAUGCAUAUGCUGAUCCUUGAAAAUUUUUAGAAUGUAUCUGUAUGUUAUCUUGAUAAAGUGGCAUGCAUCUCCAAUCAAUCAAAGAAUUUUUUUUAAAUUUAUUUGUUCCAUAAUAAUUAUUAAAAAUAUAAUUUUAUUAUAUAUUUAAAAAUAAAUAUAAUUAAUUUAUUAUUAAUGAUGUGAUGUAACUAUGAUACAGUAAACUUUUUUCUGCCAAGCCAUCUAUAACGCCUUUCCGGAUAGAUAACUGCAUGCAAUACAUUCUUUCUAUAUUAUUAGGAAGCAGUUUGCUCGUCCUUUGUUUGGACAGAUGCAAUCAUGAAUGAGGGGGCCCGACAAACCCUCACUCCGUACACAAGAGUUAUUGCAGCUGAUGUGUUGUUUAUUGGAAUCGGACCACGUGUUGCACAUACGGACGAGGUGUGAUAAGAAAAGUCUCAUAAAUUAUUAAUACCGUCCAGGCUCUCUUGAGCGAUUAGUCUCUGUCCAAAAUAAUCGUGAUAGUUACAAAAUACUUGUUUGUUAUAUAUCAUUUGUGUCGCUUAAAUAUUCUAUAGCUGAUAUUCAAAAUUUUUUAAAAAUGCCCUGUAGAUAUUUUAUCAAUAAUUUUCAUCAUCACGCAUACAUCACAUAAAUAAUUUUAAAUUUUAAAUUUAUAAUUAAAAUUCUGAAUUUAAUUUUAAAUUUGAAUUCAUAUUUUGAACUUAAAAUUGUAAGUCAAUUUUAAAUCUAAAUUAAAUUUGAAAUUCAAAUUCAAAUUUAUUUUUUGAAUUUGAAUUUCAAAAUAAAACUUUGAAAUUAAAUAUAAAACUAAUUAAAAAUGUAGAUUCACUACAACAAAAUUAAGUUAUAGAGACACAUGUUUGAGACAUUUCAGUGUAAGUGUCUCAUUUAUUUCAAAACAUUAAAAAUAAUCUAUUUAAAUAUAAAGUCUAAUCCAACAAAAAAAAUAAAAGGUUACUUUACUCAACCCACCCAAUCCAGAGCAUUCGACCCGAUUACAAACAGAAAAGGAAAAAAAAAAAAAUCGAUUAACAUCUCCAUUUCUUCCCUAACUCAAUCCACUGAAAUUCUAGAAGAAAAGCCCUUCAAUUCUCUCUCCUCCUCCUCUGCCACCGCAGCCAACGAGGUAGAGUUCUGACGGUUACUAAAUGUUUAAAUAAGUGUCGGUAAAUUAGCAGCACUCUUUUUAAGUUAUACCGACGCUCUUUAACUGUCACUACAUAUACCUAGCGAUCCCACAUAUAGCAAUAUUUUUUUAAAAUGUCGGUAAUUUAGCAACCAAUAUUUUUUCUGACAUGUACUGCUGAUAUUUAAAAGUGUCGCUAUAUAUCGUUUUUGUUGUAGUGAUAAAAAAUUCACGCCCCUUGUUGGCCUUUAUCUUGUCCACAUGUUGCAGCCGUGGUUUUGGCAUGAAGAAGAUCGACUUCGGCAUUAUUGAGGAAAAAUAGAUUUAAGUGAUUGAUAGCUUAAAGUUAAAAUUGUAGAUGUCAAAUGUGUAGUUUUACUAAUGUUUUAGUCAAUUAUGCUCAAAGGGAACAUAUAUAUAGUUCAAAAAUUUGUUAUGCUUUUAAUCCUAUAUAAUUAAGUAAUAGGGGUAAUUUCAAAUGUUCCGGUCAAAAGGUACAAAAUAUAACAAAUGUCUUUACAAAAUUGUAGAUGUCAUUUUUACCACUAUAAAUUUAUGAAUUAUAGCAAAAAUAUCCAUUUUCCGGUUAACUAAGAUUAUCGGACCAAUUUUUGUAUAUUAUAUAAUGAAUCAAUUAUAAUCUAAUUCUCACAGUCCAUUAGAAAAUAAAGAAGUGAAUAUUUAUAGGAUUUCACAACAGUUCCUAAGUUAGAAGACGACCCAAAAUAUGCAACGUCCGAGUUCGAAGCUGGUAACUAAAGUUAAUUUAAUGUGUUAACUUCAAUUUACCCCGUGAUUAAGUAGAUUUUUUCACUUUUUCCUCCAAUGGUUUAAAAAUUCAUCGACAGAACCUGAUGUCAGUUACGAAAGUGAAUUUUUUUAAAAAAAUUAUAGCAUACUAUGCUCUUUAACAAUAAAUUCUUACGAUGAAAUAAAAUAAAAUUGUAGAAUACUUAAGUAUAACUCUUUAAGCCACGGAAUGACCCUGUUAAAUAUAAAAAUAUUUAAAACACCGUUAUCUAACAGCUUAAGCUUUUAGAGUACAACGAUUGUUUAAACAUUUUUAUAUUUCAGUUUCGUUCAUUUUGCGAUUUUCUUUUCUUUUUUUCCUUUUUAAAGUAAAACGUAGAGACUUGGUGCUUGCCAAUGUGCAUGUGAUGAAAUCAUUAAUUUCUCUCUUGUCCAUUAUUAUUUUGAGAGAAAGGUACACUACCUGCUUUAUUCAUUAAAAAAUAAGUUAAACAAAAGAGUAAGAUAAAAGAAUCUCCGAAGUAGGCCGAAAAAAUAAAAAAAAUAAUUAAAUUAAAAAAAACACAUAACCAAAAAAAAAAGAAAAGGAUAUCCUCGUUUAAACACUCUAUUCUCCUCCUACUGAAGCAUCAAACAUCUGAUCGAGUUGACAGCUAGUAAGAAAUUAGUAUUAGCCAAUCUAAAAAUAACGAUGUUCCUUACUGUUCAGAUAACUUACCAAUUGACUGUCAGUUCAGUCAUUCUAUUUCUAACAUACUGAGCACUAUCCUUUUCCAUGCAUCCACUUAUCUAUCCCAUAAUAAUAACCUCUCUUGUCCAUUGUUGGAUCGGAAAGUUGCAAACAAGAGUGGGACAACUUUUCACUCCGUCCGCAAGAGUUGUUGUCGCUGCGCUUGCACCUCAUUUAUUGUUGUUGUAUGAUUGAAAUUAUUUAGAGCAUGUGUGGCACAACAUGAAUAAGAAUAAGAGUUUAUGCAUAUAUAUAUAUAUAUAUAUAUAUAUAUAUAUAUAAAAUUGAGCUCAUAUGCUUUUAAAAGUACCAAGUUAUUAGUGCUUGUAGAUUUUUGGCCAUUGGAUUAAGAGAUAUGCGGUUAGGAUGAUAUGGGCCCCCUAGGGUUGAGUUGGUGGUUGGUUGCAUAAUAUAAUCUAAUGGUUGAAAAUGAUUCGAGGAGUAGAUCUAACGAUAAAAAACUUAAAAGCACCAAGUGUUUGGUGCUUUUACAAGCACCAUAGCCGUACUCUCUCUCUCUCUCUCUCUCUCUCUCUCUCUAUAUAUAUAUAUAUAGUAGGUCUUAUGUGCUAUUAGGAGCACGGGGGCUCCUGUGCUCCUAAGCCGUUUUCGAUGAUGGAGCUUCCGAAUCGACGAUCGGUUCUGUUAGACUUGAUCUAGCAUAUUUGAAGUAUCUAGGAAAUAAAUUUUGUGACUUUUUUAUAAUAUUUAUCUAACGAUCGAAAGGGUUCAAAAUCAACGGCUGAAAAUAAAAAUCUUACAAAAAGUCGUGAUAUAGCAUUAAAAUUUUCGAUCAAACAUAUUGAUCUUGCUGUAAAUAGUAUAAAGAAUUUUCUAUCAAAAUUUCAUCUAAUUUGAAUACAUCAACUAUUAAAAAUUGUUGAUUUUGAACUCUUUUGAUCGCUAGAAAAAUGAUACAGAAAAAUCACAAAAAUUAUUUUCUAGAUAGUUCAAAUACGCUAGAUCAAGUUUAACGAAGCUGAUCGUCGAUUCGGAAGCUUCAUCAUUGAAAACGGCUUAGGAGCACGGAGGCCCCCGUGCUCCUAAUAGCACACAACACCUGCAAAACGGAAACUCCAUAAGCUGUCCCUGCAAAAGUCCUAAUUUAUGCAGAUAUGUCCCUCUGAUUAACAUCUGUUAGAGAACUGUUUAUUUUUUAACAGUUUUCAUGUGAAAUGACCAUUUUGCCCUCACAAAUAUAUCCCUCCAAAAGCAUCUUCCCCCUCUCUUUCUCUUCCUCUUCCUCUUCGGGCCGCCGGAGCGGAUGGCGGCGACGGCGCGGGUCGAGCUCGCCGGCGACAAAGAAGAGGGAAGAGAAAGAAUGAGAGGAAGAAAAAAAGGGAAGAGGAAGAAGGAGAGGAAGAGGGAGAGGAAGAGGGAAGAGAAAGAUGAAGAGGGAAAGGGUUCNNNNNNNNNNNNNNNNNNNNNNNNNNNNNNNNNNNNNNNNNNNNNNNNNNNNNNNNNNNNNNNNNNNNNNNNNNNNNNNNNNNNNNNNNNNNNNNNNNNNNNNNNNNNNNNNNNNNNNNNNNNNNNNNNNNNNNNNNNNNNNNNNNNNNNNNNNNNNNNNNNNNNNNNNNNNNNNNNNNNNNNNNNNNNNNNNNNNNNNNNNNNNNNNNNNNNNNNNNNNNNNNNNNNNNNNNNNNNNNNNNNNNNNNNNNNNNNNNNNNNNNNNNNNNNNNNNNNNNNNNNNNNNNNNNNNNNNNNNNNNNNNNNNNNNNNNNNNNNNNNNNNNNNNNNNNNNNNNNNNNNNNNNNNNNNNNNNNNNNNNNNNNNNNNNNNNNNNNNNNNNNNNNNNNNNNNNNNNNNNNNNNNNNNNNNNNNNNNNNNNNNNNNNNNNNNNNNNNNNNNNNNNNNNNNNNNNNNNNNNNNNNNNNNNNNNNNNNNNNNNNNNNNNNNNNNNNNNNNNNNNNNNNNNNNNNNNNNNNNNNNNNNNNNNNNNNNNNNNNNNNNNNNNNNNNNNNNNNNNNNNNNNNNNNNNNNNNNNNNNNNNNNNNNNNNNNNNNNNNNNNNNNNNNNNNNNNNNNNNNNNNNNNNNNNNNNNNNNNNNNNNNNNNNNNNNNNNNNNNNNNNNNNNNNNNNNNNNNNNNNGAGCACGGAGGCCUCCGUGCUCCUGAGCCGUUUUCGAUGAUGGAAUUUCCAAAUCGACGAUCGGCUCCGUCAGACUUGAUCUAGCGUAUUUGAAGUUUCUAGAAAAUAAUUUUUGCGAUUUUUUGAUAUCAUUUACCUAGCAAUCGAAAGGAUUUAGAAUCAAUAAUUUUUAACGGCUGAAAAUAAAAAUUCUAUAAAAAAAGGUGAUAUAGCAUUAAAAUUUUCGAUCAGAAAUAUUGAUCUUGUUGUAGAUAGUAUAAAAAAUUUUGUAUCAAAAUUUCAUCCGAUUUGAAUAUUUCUACACCGUUAAACUUGAAAAUGGUAGAUAUCAACUAUUAAAAAUUAUUGAUUUUGAAUCCUUUCGAUCAUUAGGUAAAUGAUAUCAAAAAAUCACAAAAAAUAUUUUCUAGAAACUUCAAAUACCCUAGAUCAAGUCUAACGGAGCCAAUCGUCGAUUCGAAAAUUCCAUCAUCGAAAACGGCUUAGGAGCACGGAGGCCUCCGUGCUCCUAAGAGCACAGCAGCCCUACUCUAUAUAUAUAUAUAGAGCUUCUAUAUUUUUAAAAAUACUAAGUUAUUGGUACAUAGAGAUUUUUGGCCAUUGGAUUAAGGGAUAUAUGGUUAGGAUGAUGUGGGACUCUUAGGAUUGAGUGGGUGGUUAGUUGAAUAAUAUGAUCUAACGGAUGAAAAUAAUCAAAAUGAUUGAUUUAAUAGUAAAAAAUUUACAAGCACUGUUGAUAUUUUUACAAGCAUCAUAGCCGAACUUAUAUAUAUAUAUAUAUAGGCUACUAUACUCUUAUGAGUACGAUUGCCCUCGUACUCAUAAGUUGUUUUCGACGAUAGAGCUUCCGAAUCGACGAUCCANNNNNNNNNNNNNNNNNNNNNNNNNUAUAUAUAUAUAUAUAUAUAUAUAGUCCAGUUAUGGCGCUUGUAAAAGCACCAAGCACUUGGUGCUUUUAAGUUUUUUAUAGUUAGAUCUACUCCUCGGAUCAUUUUCAACCAUUAGAUUAUACUAUUCAACCAACCACCCACUAAAUCCUAGGGGGCCCACAUCAUUCUAACUGUAUAUCUCUUAAUCCAAUUGCUAAAAUUCUAAAAGCACCAAUAACUUGGUACUUUUAAAAGUAUAAGAGCUCAAUUCGCUCUCUCUCUCUCUCUCUCUCUCUCUCUCUCUCUCUCUCUCUCUCUCUCUAUAUAUAUAUAUAGAGUCCGGCUGUUAUACUAUCGGUAGCACGGAGGCCUCCGUGCUACCAAGUUCUUUUCGAUAAUGCGGAAAAGCCCAAGUUCUAAGUUGGCACUAAAGUUAAUUUACUGAGUAAAUUCAAUUUACCCACACCCCCGCCCCCUGUAAUUUAGUGGAGUUUUACUUUGUUCUUAUGUAGUUUAAAGGUUGCAUUUAACUAUUAUGUGAUUUUUUAUUUUUAUUUUAUCGAUAGAACUUGACAUCAGUUAGCAAAUUGAAUUUUUUGUUCUCUUUAACAAUAAGUCUUUACAAGAAAAUAAAAUUAAUACUAUAGAAUAGUUAAGUAUAACUUUUCAAACCGCAUUAUAAGAAAGUGAAAAAAAAUUAAACGGCAGUAAAAAAAAAAAUAAAAAUUACCUAAUUAAAUUCAUCAUACUUACUCGAUCCCGAUUCAUUCGUUUCCCUUCAAAGAUUCUACAAUCUCAUUUUCGCAACGAUAUCUGAGUGCAAAUUAAACAUGUAUUAAACCAAAAUCAAAUCACGGAUUAUAAUUUUUUAAUGCAUAAAUCUUUUAAACUUUACAAAAUUAUAUCAAAUUAAUUAAAUUUUAAUUAAUUUUAAAAUUUAUUAGGGAAAAAGAUACUUAGUUAUCCGUUUUGUUCAUUUUGAGAAAUUGUUUUGGCAUUGACUGUUACUAGUGCAACUGGUAAAGAGGUUUGGUGAUUGGUAUCCGAGGUUUUAAAUUAAAGUUAAGUUUAUUUCUAAAUAAAAUAAACGAAAGAGUAGUAUAUAUGCUACCUAUCUCUUAAAAAAAAAAAAAGAAUUUCUUUUGGCAAAACCUACUGGAUGUAGACCCAAUCAGUACGUGUGCUAACGUUAUUUUUGGCAAAAUCUACUAGAUGUAGACCGAAUGUGUACGUGUGCAAAUGUUAUUUUGUCUCUUAUCAAUCAGUUAGUAAAGUCGCAAUCCAGAGGGGGACAACUUUUAUUGCGGACUGAUGAAAUUUUUUGGACCGGCAUUGGGCAAGCACCGUUCCGCAAAUUUGUGCACCUCCUCGUGAGCAGUCGAGCAAUUUUGCCUGUUCACUUUUUGAAGAAAACAUCAAGACCGAGCAAAGCAAAGAAGAAAAGGAGCGAGCAAGGAAGAAUGAGCUUGGAAAAAAUCGCGAUGUACAUUGGAAAAUAGUGGGGUCCACGAGGCUGCACUUAGCCUCAUGGACCAUGUGGAGUGAGAGGUCCACAGCAGUCCUUGUGCUCCUAACUUUUUAACCACACAUCAAAGUUUGAUGGGUGGUUAGAAUGAAAGAGGGAUGAGAUAUUGGGGAGAAAUUGGAUGUCCCUAUUUUUCUUAUUCUUGAAUUUUUCUUUAAUAUCUCAUCCCUCUCUCAUUCUGAUCAUCCAUCAAACUUGAUGGGUGAUUAAAAAGUUAGGAGCAUAAGGGCUGCUGUGCUCCUAAUAGCACAGUAGCCCUACUAUAUAUAUAUAUAUGAUUUUAUAUAUUAUUUUAUAUUAAUUUAUUUUUAUAUUUAUAAAAAUUAUAAUUAUUUAUGAUAUGACAUAAAUCUAAAAAAAAAUUAAUAUCCUAAUUAUGGAUAUUCUUCAUAAUUAUGAGUAUUUAUACUAAAAGCAUAAAUCUAGAGUCAAAGAAAAAUUAACAGCCGAAUUUUUUUAUCUCGAAUUUUUAAUUGGUGCACGUAUAAUAUUCGUAUAAAUCACGUAUCCGAAUAAUUUACGAAUCUAUUUUUUAGCCGUAUUUUUAACAAAAUUUUAAAAUUAAAAUACAAAUUUUAUCCGUAUUAUAUUCAUACCGAAUUUUUGCCGAAUCCGAAUUAACUACCUAUGUUGGACCACAACAUACAUACCGAUUAUUCAGAUACAACUUUAUUUCGCACACAUAUAUGAGAAUUGGUUAAAUUGCACCACAGGCCUCUAAAGUUAAAAAUUUAGUUUGGGCACUAUAUGCGUUAAUUUCGCUCGGGCAUCAUCUGAAGUAAGCCAUGCCAAACUAGGCCCCGCCCUCAACUACAGGCCACCCCCCCAUCUACAGAACAUUCCAAACUAGGUCCCCUAACAUUUCGUCUUUUUUUUUUAAGUUUAUUUUUUGUUUUAAAUUUUUUGAUAAAUUGAGAUGUUUUAGUGAAAUAUAUUAAGAAUUUUAUCAGAUUUUCCGUGAUUCCAUCAAAUUUAAAAGAUUUGACCAUUUCUAGCAAUUGAAACUUGAAUAAUUUACAAGUAACUAGAAUUGCCCAAAUUAAACAAAUUUAGAAGAUAAAAAGAUGUUAAGAGUUGAGAAGUCGAUUUCAAAGGAGCCUAUGAUUGAGCGCUUCUUCAUACCCUUCUACCGAUUACUGUUUAGAAUCAAUUUUUCAUUAUUCUGAAAAGGCUUUCAGUAUAUAGGAAAUGAUGAAAUGAUCUCCCACAGUCUCAGAUUAUAUAAUAUAGUACUAUAUAGUAUAGAGAGAGAGAGAGAGAGAGAGGAGAGGGUUGGACCUAUAUACUAAUUACAAGUAUCCCAUCAUGUUAUUAGGUUCUUAAAGUCAUUGGAUCUACUUUGAUUAUGAAUAGCGCUAUGGAUUAACACUUAUCUCCAACCUACAACCACCUACCACAUCAUCUCAAACCUCAAAUCUCUCUAAUCCAACGGGCUAAAAACACACAGUAUGAACCUCAUAAUACUUUUACAAGUAUUCUAGGCCUACUCUCUCUCUCUCUGCUCUCUCUCUCUCUUAUAUAUAAAUAUAAUUACGGCUAGAUAUACUAAUUAAUAGUAAAAUGCUCUUCCUUUGCUAUCAAGUUUGUUAACCUUGGAUGUGAAAAAAUUAUGAGGGUCGGACUGAUAUUAGUCGGUUAGAGCUUGAGUGCGUCCCUUAGCGGUGGAUGGUCCCCACUGGGAUGAUAUGAAUUUAAUCCGAAUUGUUAGAAAUAAUGAAAAGAGUUAUGAUACAGAAGGCUAAAAAAUCCGGUCACAAUAAAAUUUUGCUACUAAUAGUAGCCCAGUCUCUCUCUCCUCUCUCUCAUCUCUCUUCUCUCUCUUCUCUCUCUCUUCAUAUAUAUAUAUAUAUAUAUUAUAAUAUAUACAGAGUUGAUGCUAGAAACUAUCGCUAGUAAACCGACGCCGUUUUACUACCGAUUUUGUUUUCGAUGAUAGAGCCUUCCAACAAAUGAAGAAUCAGCUCCGUUUAAAUUGAUCUAAACCAUUUAAACUACUAGAAAUUCAAAGUUCACGCACUUUCGAUAUUUUCUUUUAUCCAUCAGUGAACAGAAAAAGAAUAGUUGAAAAUAAAUACUCUUUAAAAAAUGAUGAUAGGAGUCUUUAAUCAGAUCAAGAGUAUAGAUCUUGUUUUAAAUAGUUUAAAGAAUUUUCUAACAAAAAUUCAAUUGAUUUGGAUAUUUUUACGCCGUUAAACGAGAAAACGCCUCUUAUCAACCAUUAAAAUUACAAAUUUUGAAACUCUUUGAUCAUUAGGCAAAUGAUGCCGAAAAGAUUUGAAAUUUGAUUUCUAAACACUUCAAGUGGUAUAGAUCAUGUUCAACGGAGCCGAUCGUCAAUUUGGAAGUUCUAUCAUCGAAAACAAAUUGGUAGUAAAACGGCUCGUUUACUACCGAUAGUAUUCUAGCUCAACUCUCUCUCUCUCUCUCUCUCUCUCUCUAUAUAUAUAUAUAUAUAUAUAGCUCAAUUAUAGGUGUUCUUAAUUAACGUAAAAGGAACUUAUAAGCAAACUUUAUAGAGAAAAAAAAAUAUUUACAUGCAUGUAAGGAUAACAUUUUGGGGACUUCUUGCUUUAGAUUCAACACUUUCUCUCAUUAUAAAUAUAUAUAUAGAGAGCAAGAUGAGCUGGAAUGCUAUUAAUAGCAAACAGGUAUUGGUGCCACCCAUUUGUUUUUUAUGAUGAAGUCUUCAAAUCGACGAUCGGUGUCGUUGAACAUGAUCUGUACCACUUGAAAUAUUUAGAAAUUAAAUUUUAAAUCUUUUCGACAUCAUUAACCCAGUCAUCGAAGAGUUUCAGAUUUUGUAAUUUCAAUAGUUAAUAUGAGAUGUUUUCUCGUUUAACGGCGUAAAAGUAUUCAAAUCAAUUAAAUUUCUGUUAGAAAAUUUUUUAAACUAUUUAGAACAAAAUCUAUACUCUUAAUCUUGAUUACAAAACUCCUAUCAUCACUUUUUAAUAGGAUAUUCAUUUUCGAGCCGUUCAUUUUUGUGUCCACUUGAUAGACAAGAGAACAAUAUCAAAAAAAUAUAAAAUUUAAUUUCUAAAUACUUCCGAUGGUAUAGAUAAUGUUAAACGAUGCCGAUCGUCGAUUUGGAGGCUCCAGUAUCGAAAACAAAUGGAUGGCAACGAAGUCCAUUUACUACUAAUAGCAUCCUAGCUCAACUUUGUCUCUUUCUAUAUAUAUAUAAAGAGUAAAGCUACUAUACUAUUAGAAGCACAGUAGCCCUUAUACUCCUAAGUUCGUAAUUAUUCAUCAAUUUUGAUGAAUAGUUAGGAUUAAUAUCUCAUUUCUCUCUUAAUUUUUUUUCUUUGAAUUUCUUUUCAAUUUCUUUUUUCUCUCUCACCCUAACUACCCAUCAAAAUUGAUGAAUGGUUGUGAACUUAGAAAUACAAGGCUGCUGUACUCUUAAUAGGACAGUAGCUCUACUAUAUAUAUAUAUAUAUAUAUAUAUAUAUAUAUAUAUAUAGAGAGAGAGAGAGAGAGAGAGAGAGAGAGUCCGGCUACUAUACUAUCGAUAGUACCAAGCCCUUGAUACUAUUGAGUUUUCUACCAUUAGAUCUACCCUUUGAUCAUUUCCACCCGUUAGAUUAUACUAUUAAACCAACCAUCCACUCAACCCUAGGGGACCACUAUCAAUUUAAUCAGGGACCACUAUCAUCCUAACCAGCAUAUCUUUCAUAGCAACGCGAAAACUCAAUUAGUACCAGGUUUGGUUAUGAUAUUAUAAGCUAAUCUAUAACAUAAUUAUAUAUAUAUAUAUAUAUAUAUAUAUAUAUAAUAUAAUAUAUAUAAAAUACUACUAUAUAAUAUAUAUAAAUAUCCGGCUAACUAUAUUAUCAUAGUACAAACACUUCAUACUAUCAAAAUUUAACUGUUAGAUCUAUUUUUUUUUGACUAAUUUCAUCCAUUAAUCAUACUUAUUGAUCAACUACCAAUCAACUCUAGAAGACCAUUAUACAUCUAACUAGCAUAUCUUUCAUCAACCAUUACCAGCGCUGUGAUGAUAUUAAAUAGUAUAGUGGCGAUAAUAUAUAUAUAUAUAUUAUAUAUAUAUUAAAUAUAUAUAUAUAUAAAAAUGAAUGAAAUACCUUCUAACACCUUUGGUCUAUCACUUCUAAACCUUGGAUUAUUUUUUAUUACAAUAACUUGGAUUAAAUAUAUAACCAACUACAUCACACAUACGCACCACCUACCCACCAUCAUCUCAACCUACAUAUUUCAAUCUGAAGGGUAAAAACCCAAAACACCAACCAAUUGAGUGCUUUGAAGAGUAUUCUACUUACUCAUUCCUACUCUCUCUCUCUCUCUCGUCCCAGGCGUUAUUAUAUCCUCUUCUCCUUUCUCUCCUCUCUCUCUACUUCUAUAUAUAUAUAAUAUAUAAUAUAUAUAUACUAUGAUGAGCUAUACUAUCGAGCACGGAUCUUCCCGUGCAUUACAGCCGUUUUCGAGUUGCGACUUCGAAUCGUCGAUCGGCAACUUUCCGUAUUAAACUGAUCUAAGAUAUUAUGAAGUACUAAGAAAAUAAAUUUAUGAUACAUUAUUAUUUACGCUAUGAACGAAGGGCUCAAAAUCAACAGCUGAAAAUAAAAAUCUUACAAAAUGUAAUAAUAUGACAUUAAAAUUUUAAAUCAAAGAUAUUGAUCUUGUUUUAUAUAGUAUAAAGAAUUUUCUAUCAAAAUUUCACGUGAUUUGGAUAUUUCUACACCGUUAAACUUGCAAACGGCUCACUACGGCCAUUGAAAUUUGUUGAUUUUGAGCCCAUUCGAUCACUAGGCAAAUGAUAUCGAAAAAUAAUAAAAUUUAUUUUCUAGGUACUCCAAAUACUCUAGAUCAAAUUUAACGGAGCCGAUCGAUGAUUCGAAAGUCGCAACAUCGAAAACGAGCUGGAAGCACGGAAGGCUCCGUGCAUAUAUAUAUAUAUAUAUAUAUAUAUAUAUAUUGUCCGGCUAUGAUGCUUUUAAAAGAAUCAAGCACUUAUGCUUGCUUGUAAGUUUUCCAUCGUUAGAUUUACCUUUUUGACCAUUUUUACCUAUUAAAUCAUACUAUUCAACCAACCACCUACUCAACCCUAGGAGACUAAUAUCAUUCUAACCGCACUUCUCUUAAUCCAAGGACCGAAAACCUAUAAGCACCAACGAUUUGAUAUUUUUAAAAGUAUAGGAGCUCAAUUAUUUGUAUAUUAGGAAUGUUGUGCUCCAAGAAGCAUAGAGGCCUCCGUACUCUUAAAUUAUUUUCGAUGAUGGAAUUUUCAAAUCGAUAAUCAGCUCCGUUAGACUUGAUAUAGUAUAUUUGAAUUAUGUAUAAAAUAAAUUUUAUAUUUUUUUGAUAAUUUUUGUAGUAAUCGAAAGCGUUCAAAAUCAAUGGUUGAAAAAAACCGUAUAAAAAAUAAUGAUAUAAAGAUCGUAUAUCAUUAUUAGGAUAAUGUGGGCCCGGCACGGCACAGUUAGGAUAAUGUGGAACAUAAUUAGGGGUGUAAUGUGGGCCAUGCCGGGCCGGCACGGCCAACAUUACUCUGGCCGAAACGGGCCAGGAGUAGGCUGAGCCCGGCUCGGAUUUACAUCUAAGUUGUGCCGUGUCGGGCCGGAUGAACCAACCGUCCGGCCCAGCACGACCCCCAGGCCCGGAAGGUCCGGGCCGUGCUGGGCCAGGUCGUGCCGGGCUUUGGGUCCGCCAUUUAAAAUUUUUAUUUGUAAUUUUUUUCAAAAAUAUAAAAUUUUAAAUUAUGAUUAAUUAAGUAUUUCUAUUUAAAUUUAUAUUGUGAUUAAAAAUUUUUAAAUUUCUAAAUAUUUUAAUUUUUCUAAAAAAUUAAUAAAUUAUUAUUUAUUAUUUUAAAUAUAAUUAAUGGAAUUUGCUCCAUCGAACCAACAUAAACAUGGUGCUACUACUAUGUGGGCUAAGAGCCAUGUCGAUCCGCAUAAUAUUUUUUUUACAAAAAUAUUUUUAAUAGAAUAAAAGUUUUUUACUAAAUAUUUUUUAUUUAUAUAAAUAUCAAUGACUAUUUAUGAGUCCGGCUGGGAUACUAUUGAUAGCACCAAGGGUUUAGUAAUAUCGAGUUUUCCACCGUUAGAUUUAACUAUUUGAUCAACUGCAUAUUUUUCAAUAAGGGAUAAAAAACUAAUAGCACCAAGCUAUACAUUGAUAGCAUUCCAGCCUAGUUCGACCAUUUAUAUAUAUAUCUUUUUAUAUUUAUUCUUCAUUAUACAUUGGCUUCAUAGUACUAUCGUAUAACACAACCCAAUUAUGUGGCUAGGUCGAGUUACAGCAAACCCUUAUUUCCACCCUAGAAUACGGGCAUACACAAUUGCAUUGCAUAAGGAGACACAUGUUCGAUCCAUUUUGUAAUACUAAUUAAUAAGCAACAGUAGAUCACAAUAACUGUAGAUCUUCAAACUAGCUUACAUAGAACAUACCGAAACAUAACAGAAACCACAAGGUCGAAGAAAGCAGCUGAACAGUUGGAUGCCUACUUGCAUCCUUAUUUUAUAACUAAGCAUAUAUAUAUGAUAGCAAACUGCAUGCAGUGCGUUGCUAAUCAUCAUCACUUCCGAUCGACCUACACUGAGCUUCGACUUUCAGAAACCAUUUUAAUGGCUUCGACAUUGGCCCCAGAUUGUAGAGUGGGAUAGAGAGGAUCCAUGGCGAUUCCACAUAAUCCAAAUGACGAUGACACAUCUCUUGCCAUGCGGAUGUAUCCGCCCUCACCCCAUCUGGCACCCCAUGAGUUCCUUACUAGCCAAAAUUUUUUUCCGCUGCUAUCCUGCCCGUAACCUAUAAUGGCGAUGGCAUGAUUGAGUCUAGUUCCACAAGGUCCGUUAAACACACCGCCCUUGUAAUGUUGAAAGUUUCCACUGGCAUCGAGAGCAGCAGUAAUUGGUUGAUUCGACACAGCGUACAUCAUGCUGCUUUCGUUGUUCCUCCGCACACGUGCAUAACUAGUAAUAUAGGCUGAAUUGGGCACGCCAUUGGUCUUGCAGGGGCCUUUGGAUGCUUUGUAAGGGUAGAUAGCUGCCGAUGCCACGCCCUUGUUAGAUAUGAUGAAUUCGAAGGCCCUGAACUCCCAGCCGCCUUUGCACCCGUAGCCUUUAGCACAAUCGAGAACUUGCUGCUCCGAUAAAUAUACUAAGUUCCCUCUUUUGAUCUUGUAGAUUGAUUCUACCGUCGCAAUUGCAGCGAAUGCCCAGCAAGAACCUGUGCCGAAACAAAGAUUAAAUCGUGUUAGCAUAACUAGUGUAAGCAAAGUUACAUAUAUAUGUAGGUUGCCAUGAUAAAAGAAAACAUUCAAACUAAUUACCUUAUUAGAUGUUAUUUGCAAGUACUGAGCUGCUUUUAACUUGUUUUCAACACUUGUCAUGCAUAGGGAUGUCCCGUUCUUUUUGACUAAAAUGUAUUUUGCUUACUUUAAUAAUAUAAUUAUUGUAAUAACUUAAUUAAUAAUAUGAAAUUCAAUAAUAGUCCUAACAUCCAGAUGAAUUGAAUCAAGUCGAAGUCUAUGAAUGCUAUGAUUAAGUCUUUAAGUGUGUUGGAUACAUUCUUUUUAUCACCACGUAUUUCUGUAAUAGUUGAUUAUCACUUACCAUCCACAUUCGAUAGAUAGGAUGAUUUUUUAUUAACUAGAUUCAAUAUUUCGAUAAUUUCCUUGUAUGAAUACUGAUAACAUGUCCUAAUGAAUGUUUAGACACUUUUGAUCGGCCAAAUAAUGGACUUUGUUGGGUUUUAGUGUGUGGAAAUUUGGUCCUGUAGUCUAAAAACGGCAGAAGGCAUAUUUGGUGAGAUUUGAUCAAAACAACAUGUUUAAAGUUAACUAAAAGAAUAGGUAUUUGUUCCUAGCUGAAGAAAUGAAGUUGCUUUGACAAUUUAUAUAAUCCACAUUAAUCCUUACCACAGCGGCCUUGGUUCUUGACACUUGUUACGGCACCGUAGUUUCUCCAAUCAAUACUUUGAGGCACCGCGGAGAUGUCUACGUCAUCAAACGACACCACUUGCUCUCCCUCGAUAUUUAGUGGGCGAGAUACACCACCAGUAUAUUGAGCAACAAAUUCGUUAUUUGUCAUAUCGGUAAACUGAUUGAUACCGAGAGUGUACGAAUUUCCGUUGCGAUUGUUAAAGUUUUCGAUAUGGUUCACGUUGUUCUUGAAAAUCUGAAACCGGAGCAUCUUCUCGUCGUUGUCCUUGUAAACUCGGCCGUACUCCGCCACCCAUUUUUCAAACCGCUUCAUCAUGGGAUCACUUGGUUCGUCACAAGAAGCUGCCGACGGCAAUGCCCGCAUCACACAGAGAAACAAGAAAAGAAACACGAGUUGAACUUUGGAAGCCAUGCUUAUGUAGCACUAAAUAUCUACUAUAUGUAUGACGAAAUUAGAGAUCGAGCUAAAAGAGCUUUUGUUGCUGAGAAUAUGGUCUCAAGAUCGAGUUUAUAUAGAAGUUCAAGCCUUCGAAUGUACGGGGGAGAAUUAAUGGGUGGGGUCCCGAAUUAAGUUACAUGUACUAUAUGAUUUAACUCCGCCAUCCAUUCUUUAUAUGAUUUAACUCCAACCAAGUUACAUCUACUCGCAUGCUUCAAUACCCAAAUAGGUCCUAAUUAAGUUACAAGACAAUCCAAAAUAAGGAAAGCCCAAGUUCUAAGUUGGCACUAAAGUUAAUUUACUGAGUAAAAUUCAAUUUACCCACACCACCACCCCCUGUAAUUUAGUGGAGUUUUACUUUGUUCUUAUGUAGUUUAAAAUAGAAGAAUUUCUUUUGACAAAAUCUACGAGAUGUAGACCCAAUGUGUGUACGUGUGCAAACGUUAUUUUGUCUCUUAUCAAUUCUUAGUAAGGUCGCAAUGGAGAGGGGGACAACUUUUAGGGGCCGUUUGGUUGGAUGUAGUUACAAAAAUGGUGUAGUUUGAAGUACAUGCAAUUGUAAAUGUUCCAGUUUUAACUACACCUAGUCUGUUUGAUUUUAUGCAGUUGCAACUGUUAUAGUUAUAUUUCUUCUGUUUGGUAGUGUGCAGUUGAGAUUUAAAUUUAUAAAUUCUAUCAAAUUUUAGAUAGAAAUGUGAGAUUAUCUCUUUUGAGCAUAACGUAAUCAUAUUUUAAAUAUUAAUUAAAACUUUUAUAUCUAUAUAUAAUUUAUAAAUUAUAAAAUUGUAUAUGAAUUUAAUAAAUAUUAAAUGUAAAUAUAUUAUAAAUUUGUUCAAAAUAAAAAUUAAGAUAUUAUUAAACUAACAAACUGAAAAAUAAGAAGCGCAUGAAAAAAAAUUUAUUUUACCCUAACAGAUAUUACUAAAUCAUAUCAGAUUUCAUGAAUAUGUAUUUUUGAAAAAAAAUAAAAAAAGAAGUGUAUGAAAAAAAAUCACAUUUUGUUUAUUUUUUUAAUAGGUGAGUUGACUCUGGCUCAACCGCUGUAGUUGGUACUACAGCCAAUUUGGCUGCAUUACCAACUGUUAUAGUUGGGCCUUCUCAUGCAGAUCAACUACAGUAGUUGAGUCUAACUACACCAAACCAAACAAAAAAUUAAUAGAUGCAUGUAUUUUCAACUGCAAUGCAAUUGAAAAUACAUGCAACCAAACAGCCAAGUUCGAGCUAAGUUUAUUUUUAAAUGAAAUAAACGGAGCAAUACCCAUCUCUUAAAAAAAAGAAUUUUUUUUGGCAAAACCUGCGAGAUGUAGACCCAAUUGCCCAACGAGAAUAGGACUGAUAAAGACUUGCAUGAAUGAAAAAAGUUAUAUUUAAAUUUGAAAAGUACUAUUGUCCAGAAUAUUUUUUUUUAUAAAAAAAAAUAGCACACUAUCCGCUUCAUUUACUAAGGAAUUGAAUUAGACUGUAAUGAUGAAGCAACCGAGGCCUCGAGAGAGAUAGGGAAAAAAAAAAAAAUCUAAUGUUCAGAAUAGUUAUUUAGCAUUAUGAAAGAUUUUUUUAAAAAAAAUUUAUGAAUGCCACGCUUAUGUAUUAAUUAAAAUAUCACAAUGCCCUCAUAAAUUAAUAAUAUCAUUCAUGCUCUUUUAAAUGGUCAUAAAUAUUAUAGUAAAUAGCUCCCGUGAUUAGUCUCUAUCGAAAAAUCUUGUCAUUAAUUGUUAUAAAAUAUUUAUUUUUUCACCAUUAGUAUAAUAACCCGUGCGAUGUUAUAAAUAAAUAGUGCAAUGAGAGAGAGAUGAGCGUGGUGGUGGAAGAUUAGAUGAUAAUGUUGCAUGAAAAAUAAUAGGUCAUGCAAAAGAGAGAGGGCGGAGGGAUUAAUGAAGGAGGGGAGUUGAUUGCAAUUACAAAAUACACUCAUUAUUGGAGGAGUUAUAAAGCCCAUUGAUUAGUAGGGGGCGGGAUUAAUGUAGGCCUAGAGGGGAGUGAACUGGAAUUAUAAAGCCCACUCAUUAGUAGAAUAUAAUGUAUGUAAUUAAAUAUUACAUAAUAAAUUAAUUAAUUAAUUUAAUCUCGAGUGAGUGCUAGAAAAAUCACCAUUGGAAGAGAAAAAGCCAAGAAAAAGACAAUGAAGAAGGUAGCGCCAUGUUGGAUAAGAAAUCGAGGUUUAAUAUAGAGUUAUAGAAGAUUAUAGAUUAUAGAUAAUAUGACAUAAUUAUUGUUCUUUAAAAACUGAAAAAUGAUACGGAGCAUGAGGUACUAAGUUUAAAUCUUAUCAAUCUAGUUUCAUUUAAUUUCUUUUCAUCUAACUUAAGUUAAUUCAAGUCCAUAUUUUAAGUCUAUUAAAACAUCUCGAGCCUAAACUCAAGGAAGAGUGUUGAUUUUAAGGGCGUGUUUGGUUCGAAGUUGGAGUCGGAAUCGGAAUCGGAAUCAAAAUAAGUUGGAAUCGGAAUCGGAAUGACUCAUUACCUAAUUCUGUUUGGUUCAUCACCUGAAUCGGAAUCGGAAUAAAUCAUUCCUAUUGUCGGUGUUUGGUUCAGGUGGAUAUAAAAAACGUAAUCAAAUUAAUAUACUAACAUUAUCUUUAUAAUAUAUUAAUUUAAAUUCAAAUUAAAUAUUAAAUAUUAAAAAUUUACAUCAAAAUUUUGAAAUAAUGUCAAAAUUUUAAAUCUAUUUUUUUUAAAAAAAAUUAAACUUUGAAGUUGAGUGGAUAAUUCAAAAUGUGAAACUAAAUUUUGAUUUAUUCAAAUUCAAACUAAAAUUACAAUUUAAAUUUUAAUUUGAAUCUAUAAAUUUAAUUUAAGUUUGAAAUAAAAUUUGAAUAAAACUUUAUAUAAAUUAAAAUUUAAUUUAAAUUCAAAUUCAUAAGUUAGAUUCGAAAUACUUGAUUAAAUUUUAAUUUUUAAUUUAAGUUCAAAUUAAAAUUUAAAAUUAUAUAUUUAAUUUUUAAAUUUUAACUUAUAUUUUAAUUAAAAAAGUUGAAAAAAUAAAUUUAAUCCGAAUAAAUAUUCAUUCCGUCCUGAUUCAACUUCCAAUCCGGCAUUCUAGGCCGGAUUGAAAAAUGAGGUGAUUGGGGGAUUCCCAUUCCACUCGGGAAUGGGAAUCGGAAUGAGACUCCCGCGUACCAAACACCCACAAACGGAUUCAUCCAUUCCGAUUCCGAUUUUAGGGUGAAAAAGAAGCGAACCAAACACGCCCUAAAUAUUAAAAAUAUUGCUUUUUAAUAACUUAAGUUUUUAGAGAUAAAUAUUUCAUUUUUUUUUAUAGAUUUUAUUUUUUUUCCAUAUUAUAGUGAACGAUUAUACUUAAUUACCAUUAGAAAAUAAAGAAGUGUACCUUAAUUUAUAUGAUUUUACUCCAACCACUUUUCAUCUACUAGCAUGCUCCAGUUCCCAAAUGUGUCCUAAAUUAGAAGACAAUCCAAAAUAUGAAGAGCCCGGGUUAGAAGUUGGCAACUAAAGUUAAUUUAAUGCGUAAACUUCAAUUUACUCUCCAUGAUUUAGUAGAUUUUUACUUUGUUUUUUUGUAGUUCAAAAGUUGCACUUAAUUAUCAUAUAAUUUUAUUUUUAUUUUACCAAUGGAAUGACAUAAGUUAGGAAAGUAAAUUUAUUUAUAAAAAAAAAAUCAUAAAGUGAUAUCCUGGUUAACAAUAAGGGCAUGUUUGGUUCGUACAUUUUGGAUCCGAAAUGGGAAUCGGUUUGAUCAAAUCCUGCUAAUUUUGUUUGGUUUACAGGAAUCGGUUUGGGACUCCCAUUCCGGAUCGAAAUGGGAAUGGUCCAUUAGCUUACAAAUUAAUUCCGGUCUCCAGGCCCGGAUUGAAGUUUCAAUUCCAAGCCCAUACUCACCUCUUCCUCAGACCCAGCCUAACGUUUCUCCAUCUUAUCCAUUCUUUCUCUCCAUAUACCAAUCUUUUUUCUCUUUUGUCAUCAUUUAAAAAAACGUGAUAUAUUAUUUUUUAUUACAAUUUUAUUCAAAAAAAUUUAUGCAUUUUUUUGUAAUUUUUUGCAUAAAAAUUUUUAAAAUAAAUUCCUUUUUUUUGGCAUAGCUCUGACUUGAGAAUAGUAUUAAUUUUUUUUUUUUAUAAAUUUUAGAUAGUUUUAUAAAAUUAUAUUUAAAAGUAAAGUUAGAAUUAUGUUAUUCUAUUAUUUUUUACUUUGUAUGAACCAAAUAGUAAAAUAGGAAUAAUUCAUUCCAAUUUUCAAAUCAGAAAUGAACCAAACGUCUUGGAGGAGUAGGGCAAUCCAAUUGUCAUUUCAAUUCAUUCUCAUUCCAUUAUUCAUUCCAAUUUUACUCUUGAACCAAACAAGCCUUAAAUUCUUAUAAUAAAAUAAAAAUUAUAUUAGUAGAAUAGUUAAGUAUGUUUAACUUUUCAAAUCAUGUAAAAAGUGAAUUAAAAAAUAUUAAACAACAGUACGAAAAAUUAAAUUUACCUAAUUUAAUUCAUCACGCUAACUCGAUCCCAAUUCAUUCAUUUCCUUGAUCCAAAGAUUCUACAAUCUCAUUCUCUCAACCUUGUCGGAGUGCAAAUUAAAUAUAUAUAUGGUACAUCAAAAGUCAAAUCAUGCAUUAUAAUUUUUUAAUGUAUAAAUUUUUUUAAACUUUAUAAAAUUAUAUCAAACAAAUUAAAUUUUAAUUUUAAAAUUUUUUAGAGGAAAAUAUAAUUAGUUACACAUUUACUUCAUUUUGAUAUCUUUUUUUAUCCCCGAGUAAAACUUAGUAAGAGAUGUAGUGCCAACAUGCAUAUGCUGAUCCUUGAAACUUUUUAGAAUGUAUCCGUUAUCUUGAUAGAGUGGCAUCUCCAAUCAAUCAAAGAAUUUUUUUUAAAAUUUAUUCGUUCCAUAAUAAUUAUAAAAGGUAUAAUUUUAUUAUAUAUUUAAAAAUAAUUAUAAUUAAUUUAUUAUUAAUAAUAUGAUAUUAUUAUUAAUGAUGUGAUGUAAGUACGGUACUAGACUUUUUUCUGCUAAGCCAGCUAUAAUGACUUUCAGGACGGAUAAAUGCAGUCCAUUAUAUUUCUAUACUAUUUUAGGAAGCAUUUUGCUCGUCCUUUGUUUGGACAGAUGCAAUCAUGAAUGAGAGGGCCCGACAAACCUUCACUCCGUACACAAGAGUUAUUGCAGCUGAUGUGUUGUUUAUUGGAAGCGGACCACGUGUUGCACGUACGGAAGAGGGAGUGAUAAGAAAAAUCUCAUAAAUUAUUAAUACCGUCCAGGCUCUCUUGAGCUAUUAGGGUGUGUUUGGUUGCACGUAAAAUUAGAAAAAAAAUUAAUUUAUUAAGAAAAAAAAAUUUUGGUGGAAAAAAAAUUUUACGCCUUUAGUUAUAUAAGGAAAGAAAAAUAUUUUUCAUGACUUUGUUUUAUUGAAAAAAAAAAAAAAUAAAAAUUAUUAUAUAAUUUUUAUUUAUAUUAUUAAAUAUUAUUUAUAAUUUUAUUUAUAGAUUAAAUAUAUUUAAAAUUAUAAUAAUUAUAUACAUGAUAUCUAUAUAGAUUAAUAUAUUUAUGAGAUAUUAAUAUAUAUAUAAUUAUAAAUAUAUUAUAUAUGGUUGUUUUGGGUUGAAAGACAUAAAAAAAGAAAGAGUAAAUAAAAAACGUUAUAUAUUCAUUUUAUAUGUAUAUAUAUUAUUAUUCAUAAUACGCCAUCAAUUAUUAAUACUAUAUAAUUUUAAAAUUAUUAAUAAGUAAUAAUAAUAUAAUAGCAUAAUGUAUAUUAUUAGUAUAAAAUAAAUCACUAUAUUAUUUAAUAAAUAAUAUUUAUAAACUGUUGAUAUUAUUAUAGUAUAUAUAUAUAUAAAUAAUAUAUAUUAAAUAUUAUAUAUAUAUAAGAAGAGAGAGAGUCACGAGGCCGGGUCCUCGUGGACUCUCUUCACACGGUCACGAGGGAGCAGUUCACUCGUUGGACCGCAUGUUAAUAGCCUGUGCGCGCCCGGAUUUUUCAACCAGUGGUUUUGUCCGGCCGAGCGGAAAACUAAAAUAGCUUCGUUUUUUAAGGAAAUCUGUAAACAAAUUUGCCUGUAAAGAUCUUUUACAGACAGCCAAAGAUAGGAAAAAAGUUUCAACGAAAAAUUAUUUUUCAGAGACUGCAUUUACGAGGUCCUAACGGCCCUUAGUCUCUAUCAAAAUAAUCGUGAUAGUUACAAAAGCACUUAAUUUUACCAUUGGCCUGAGAUUAAUCAUUUGCUGUUCGCUUAAUAUUCUAUAGCUGAUAUUUCAAAUUUUUUGAAAAUGCCUGUAGUUAUUUUAUCAAUAAUUUUCAUCAUUCACGAAUUACACCACCUAAGAUAAUUUAAAAUUUAAAAUUUAAAUUAAAAUUCUAAAAUAUUAAAUUUAAAUUUUAAAUUCUGAAGUUCAAAUUGGUGUGAAGGAAAAUUUGUUCCAAGACAAACUUCUUUUAAUUCUACAAUUAAAUUUGAAAUUCAAAUUAUGUAUUUUGAAUUUGAAUUUCAAAUAAAACUUGGAAAUUAAUAUAAAUAUUGAAUUAAAAAAAUCGAAAUAUUGAAAGUUAAUUAGCUAUAAUAAUUUCUUAUAUUUUGGCAUUCAAGGACGAUUUGAGUUAUAUUCGAAAGCCAAAAAUCAAAUUUUUAAAUUUUAAAUUAGUAAAUUUACUAAUUUAUAAAUUAGAUAUAACUAUUAUUAAUAUUAAAAUUCAAAAUGUUAUAUAUUGUAAAUUUUUAGUGAUGAUGGAGGGCUCAAGAUCUGGUAGUUUAAAUGUAAAACUUGAAAUUAGAAAAAUUCUAUAUUAAAUUUUUCGGAAAUAUUUAGUCAGAUAAAGUUCGGAAUUAUUUUACAACUAUGACUAGUCAGCAGCUCUGGAACUAAGAUUAGGAUAACACUCCGUGACGUGAGAUAAAAUAAGAAAUAUUUAUGAUAUAACUCAUUCUAUUGGAAGAGCAUAUAUGAUAUUUUAAUAUUUUUACAAGUAUCUGCGGUAGUUUAAGAUUUUGAGGAGUAGUUAUGAAACUGUCCCCGCAUUUCAAAAUUUGGAAAAUUGAUCUCCCUCACUUGCGGAUUUCAUGUAGUACAAUUUUUAGACAGUGUUCUUAAUGCAAGUAACAAAUUAUAAGCAACUUUAAAGAAAAAAAAGUUACCUAUUUUUAGGGAUCACAUUUCGAAAAAUCUGAAGAUGAGUUUUUAGCUGUCCAGAUUUCACACUUUGAUAAAAAAUAUGAUCUGAAUAAUCAUAAAAGGGGAUAGCUUACGCUUACCUAUUUUUAAUAUGCACAAGACAUCGACUAUAAAUAUGUGUUGCUAAAAGUAAAAUUUACUUUUGUCCAAAUAAGUGAAAGAUGGAAUUAUUAAAUUAAGGCCAAUUUGCAUAAAAAAUUCACUAAUUUUGGGUUUUUGCAAAAGUGUGACUUUUUUCGUUUUUGUAGAUUCGGUCUGAAUUUUCAGCAAACUGAUCAAAAUACUUUUAUUAUUUUUUCUCUCUCCUCUUUCUCUCUCCUCUUUUUUUCUCUCGUUUAUUUUUUUUUCUCUCGUCGAAGAAAGCAGCGGAGGCAGAGGCGGAGGCUGAAACCCCCUGCCACGCCUUUCACCCUCAUGCUCUCGCCCUUGCCUUUGGUUUUUCUCUUUUUUGUGAUUGUAUCAGCUUUUGCUGAGAAUACGAGUUUAUAGUAAAAAUUCGAUUCGACGCUUCCGUUGUGUAAUCCCAACAAUCGGCUCCGAAUCCACAGCAAUCGGUAUCGAAGCGGGUUGCGAAUUCUCAAAAUCCGGUACCAAGACGAUUACCGAAUUCCCAAUAUAUAUAUAUAUAUAUAUAUAUAUGAGUCCGGCUACUGUACUAUUGAUAGUACCAAGCCUUUGGUACUAUUGAGUUUUCUACCGUUAGAUGUACUCUUUGAUCAUUUCCACCCGUUAGAUUAUACUAUUAAGCCAACCACCCACUCAACCUCAGGGGACCACUAUCAACCUAACCGCACAUCCUUUCAUCCAACGGCCAAAAACUCAAUAGUACCAAGGGCUUGGUACUAUUGAUAGUAUAGUAGCAUAAUUCUAUAUAUAUAUAUGAAUUAGCCUGAAAUACUAUUAAUAGUAAAACGCUCUAUUUGCUAUCAAGUUUUUAACCCUUGGAUGAAAAAUUGUAAGGUCAGGAUGAUAUUAGUCAGUUAUAGUUGAGUGGUCCCCCUAGGGUUGAGUGGUCUCUAUUGGGUUAUAGUAUUUAAUCCAAUUGUUAGAAAUAAUGAAAAGAGUUGAUCCAAAAGCUAAAAAACUGGUAGCAAUAAUAGGAUUUUGCUACUAAUAGUAGCCCAGUCCAAACUAUAUAUAUAUAUAUAUUAAAACACCUCUCUUUAAUUACUUAAGUUUCUAUAUAAAAAUAAUUGUUUCACAUCCUUUCAUAAAUUUAACUUUUUUCAUAUUAUAAUAAAUUGAUUAUAAUAUAAUUCCUACUGUUCAAUUAGAAAAUAAUGAAGUAUAUCUUUAUAUGAUUUAACUCCAACCAAGUUUCAACUACUAGCAUGCUUCAAUACCCAAAUAGGUCCUAAGUUACAAGACAAUCCAACAUAAGGAAAGCCCAAGUUCUAAGUUGGCACUAAAGCUUAUUUACUGAGUAAAAUUCGAUUUACCCACACCCCCUACCCCUGUAAUUUAGUGGAGUUUCACUUUGUUCUUAUGUAGUUUAAAGGUUGCAUUUAACCAUCAUGUGAUUUUUUAUUUUUAUUUUAUCAAUAGAACUUGACAUCAGUUAGCAAAUUGAAUUUUUUGUUCUGUUUAACACUAAGUCUUUACAAGAAAAUAAAAUUAAUAUUAUAGGAUAGUUAAGUAUAACUUUUCAAACCGCAUAAUAACAAAGUGAAAAAAAAUAUUAAACAGCAGUAAAAAAAAUUAAAAAUUACCUAAUUAAAUUCAUCAUACUUACUCGAUCCCGAUUCAUGCAUUUGUUUCCCUUCAAAGAUUCUACAAUCUCAUUUUCUCAACGAUAUCUGAGUGCAAAUUAAACAUGUAUUAAACCAAAAAUCAAAUCACGGAUUAUAAUUUUUUAAUGCAUAAAUCUUUUAAAUUUUAUAAGAUUAUAUCAAAUUAAUUAAAUUUUAAUUAAUUUUCAAAUUGUUUAGGGGAAAAGAUAAUUAGUUAUUCGUUUUGUUCAUUUUGAGAAUUUCUUUUGGCACCGACUAUUACUAGUGCAAGUAAUAAAGAGAUUGGUGGUUGGUAUUCGAAAUUCUAAAUUCGAACUAAAUUUAUUUUUAAAUAAAAUAAACAAAUCGAGUAGCAUGCUACCUACCCAUCUCUUAAAAAAACAGAAUUUCUUUUGGCAAAACCUACCAAAUGUAGACCCAAUGUGUGCGUGUGCAAACGUUAUUUUUGGCAAAACCGACUAGAUGUAGACCCAAUGUGUAAUGUGUACGUGUGCAAACGUUAUUUUUGGCAAAAUCAACUAGAUGUAGACCCAAUGUGUACGUGUGCAAACGUUAUUUUGUCUCUUAUCAAUAGUUAGUAAAGUCGCAAUCGAGAGGGGGACAACUUUUAUUGCAGCUGAUGUGUUGUUAUUCAAAUUAUGGGAGCAGUUGUUGCCCAACGGGAAUAUAAAGGACUGAUAAGAGACGUGCAGGAAUUAAAACAAGUUAUAUUUAAAUUUAAAAAAUACUAUUGUUCAGGAUAGUUGUUUAGCAUUAUGAAAGUUUUUUUAAAAAAAAUUUAAGAACGCCACGCUUAUGUAUUAAAAUAUCACAAUGCCCUUGUAAAUUAAUAAUAUCAUUCGUGCUCUUUUAAAUGGUCAUAAAUAUUAUAGUAAAUAGCUCCAGUGAUUAGUUUCUAUUGAAAAAUCUCGUCAUUAAUUGUUAUAAAAUAUUUAGUUUUUUACCAUUACGUACUAUUAGUAUAGUAACCCGUGCGAUGUGAUUAACAGAUAAUUAAAGGAAAAAUAAAAAACGGCGACAAAGAAAGAGUAAACGACAAUGGAAGAAGUGACGGUGAGGAGAUUCAUCCCGCUGAUAAACGAAGAUAAAAGUUGAAGAAAGAGGAAAAGAUAUAGUUUGGUCUAAUGCAGAGUUGUGAUCCAGUUUGGUUCAUGCAAAAAAAAAAAAUCCGAUUCGGUUCAAGCAAAAAAAAAAGAAAAGCUUGAGACGGUUUGGGGUAAAACCCACACUCUAUAGUGAUUGAUUCAGUUUAAAUAUAAAAAAAAGAAAAAAAUUGGUUCAAAGAUGGAAACAUGUGGAGCAGUUGGGCUGGUUUAGCCCAAUGGAACAGGUUGAUCUAAUUCGUUUCAAGUAAAGAAAGAGAGAAAUCAGACUCGUUCCACGUACGUAAAGAAAGAGAAAAAUAUGUGAAAAACUUAAGCCGGUUUUCAGAGGAGUCUACACUCAACAAUGAUCAGUUCGGUUCAAGUAAAGAAAAAAAAAAUCCGAUUAGAUUCAAGAAAAAUAAGGAACAAAAAAUGGAGAAGUUGAAUAGGUUCUUGAUGAAGCUCACACUUAAUAAUGAAAGGAAUGUUAUUAUGUGGCAAAACUAGAAAGCAUAACGUAUAGGGAUAAAUUGAUAUCGUUAAUGUUGCUUAAAUUUUCUAUUGCUGAUAUUCAAAGUUUUCUACAUCAUUAAUGUCGCUUAAAUGGUAUUCAAAAUUUUCUAUAGCGUAUUUUCCAAAUUUAUUAGAACUAAGAUUAGGAUAAUGCUAUUUGACAUGAGAUAACAUGAGAGAUAUUUAUGAUAUUUUUAGAAGUAUUUGUGAUAGUAAAAGAUUUUGAGGAGUAGCUAUGAAGCGGUCCCUAAAAAUCUCUGCAGUUCGAGCUCUCACAACCUCGUUUCAAAAUUUGGAAGAUUUUAUGUAGUACAAUUUUUAGACGGUGUUCUUAAUUAAGGGAAGAAACUUAUAAGCAACUUCAAAGGAAAAAAAGUUAUAUACUCGAUCGCGUAUAAUUUGGAAAUUUGAAUAUGAGUUUUGUCCUUUUUUUUUGAGAGAGAUCUAGAAAGGUAGCAUAAUACUCGCUUUGUUUAUUUCAUUUAUAAAUAAACUUAGCUGAAAAUGUGAAUCAAAUAGAAUUCGAAUUUGGAUCUCGAGUACCAAGCACCAAAUCCUUUGCCACUUGCUCUAGAGACAGUCGGUGAUAAAUAAUAUGACUUGAACACUCGUGCAAGGUGAUAGCAUAUACCCUCACCCACUUUUCAUAUGCACAAGACAUUAAUUAUAAUGUAUGUUUGUAAUAUACCGGAUUUUUAAUAUAAAAAUAAGUGUAAAUAAAAAUAGUGUAAAAUACUAUUUUUAUUGGACUUAGAGAAUGGAAACAGAAGAUUUAGAAUUUUCUGUAAGAAAUGAGAUUGAUAUUUUAGCAGAAAAUUCAGUGUCAGAAAAUUAUUUUUGUUAGUGACAAUGUUGGCGGUCUCGAGGCGUGACAAUGUUGGUGCAAGUAAAAUUUAUUUUUGUCCAAAUUAAUAUGGAAUAAGUAAUGAGAUUUGAAUUCUUUUUAUUAACCCUUCAACUCAGUUUGUUCUACUUACAGUACGGCGUUGGACCACUGUGUUAGUUAAUUCGCGUAUAAUACGCGAAUUAUACGUGAACAAACGGAAAACCAUAAAAAACGCUCCGUUUACGAAUUUUUUUCCAAAAAACCGAAAAAAACACGUUUUUCUCCCUCCCUCAGAUUAUUCGCGAUAAAAAUGGUUUUUCCGAGUUAUAUUUCGAAAAAUUCGGAUGUAGCAGCGGUGGAAAGAUAAAAUUUCUUGAGAAAUUUGGAUUUGGUGGCUGCAGACUGAUGAAAUUUUUUGGACCAGCUUUUUGGACCGGCAUCAGGCGAGCACCAUUCCGCAAAUUCGCGCACCUCUUCGUGAGCAAUCGAGCAACUUUGACUGUUCAAUUUUGAAGGAAACAUGCAGACCGAGCGAAGCAAAGAAGAAAAGGGGCGAGCGAGGAAGAAGGAGGAGCUUGGAAAAAAUCGCAUUGUAUGUUGGAAAAUAGUAGGGUCCACGAGGCUGCAUUCAAGGCCUUUGAAAACCACAAACAAACUACAAUCCUAAUUAAAGAGAGUCAUCGAUAUUUACAAUCCUAUUAAUAGAGAAUCAUUGAUAUGUCCUAGUUCACCUACUGAUCAACCACGAUAAUUAUAAUAAAAUCAAACUUAUAAAAUAUUGAAAUAUAGAAGAAGGCUUGACUAACAAAUAUAACAAAUAAGUUAAGUCCCCUUAAUCAAAUUUGUAUCUUGGAAUAAUCUCUCAUGCUACUUCUUCUUACACUCAACUACUGUACUUUUCUCUUUCUAAGGUGUUCAAUAUGUGCAUUCAAUAUGUGCAUAGUGUUUCUAUUUAAUUUGCUUUCUUUUUAAUUUUUUCGACAUGAACUUUUUUUUUGAACUUUUUUUUUAUUCUUUUUUCCUUUUCCACUUCACUAUUUCUUUUCUUUUUUCCUUCUCUACUUCCAUCGCAUCAUUGGAAUCCGAAUGUAGCAAUGUAAGUUCCAUCCAGAUUUAAUGCAAAUUAUAGUGAACAGCAUAGAAAUUUGCACUUUUUUUUUUGCAUAUUUUUUUAUUCAGCAAGAAAACAUUUAAGUUAGCAAUGAUAAUAAAAAAGAAGACAAUAUUAAAAUGAUACAAACAACAAUCAACUCUUAUAUCGAAAAAAAGGUAUGAAGACACAGAUCACACAAAACUUAGCCAGUUCCCGAGCAAACAAAAGAAAAGUCCCAAAAUUAGGGAUUCUGUGCUUCGAGGGGCAUAGAGGCCUUUUUACUCCUAAAUUAUUUUCGAUGAUGAAAUUUUCGAAUCGAUGAUCAAUUCCGUUAUAUUUGAUCUAGCGUAUUUGAAGUAUAUAGAAAAAGAUUUGAUCUAGCGUAUUUGAAGUAUAUAGAAAAUAAAUUUUACGUUUUUUCGAUAAUUCUUUAAUGAUCGAAAGCGUUCAAAAUUAAUGGCUGAAAAUAAAGAAUGCAUAAAAAAUGAUGAUAUAAAGAUCGUAUUAAAAGUUAGGGUCAAAAUUGGAUUGGACUAUAAAUAAAUUAGUUCAUUUUUAUUUCAGGAUGGAAUGCAAAUCAAAAUUUGCUUUUUGUAAAGCAAACAAUACAUUCGAAAUAAGUGAAUGUUCAUUUUUAUUUGCUCUCUUGCAUUCUUAUUUUUGUAGCUCCCCACAAUAAAUGCAAUAUUUUCCAAAAAUAUUAGAAAAAUUAAAGAAUAUAUACACCCUCAUAAUGUGUACAUAUUAUUGUAAUGUGCAUGUCCCUGGUCAAAACUUACGUGAGGUUAGUUUUCCAAAUUAUCUAUUUAAAUUGUUGGAUCUAGCAUGUCGUCAGAAAAAAUUACGUGGAGUUAGUUUUCCAAAUUAUCUAUAUAAGAAUGUAAGAUUUAUUACCACGUAGGUGUUAAAUCUCACAUUCUGAGAUAAUUUGAUAAGGUAGUUAGAAUUUUUCUUCUCUCUACUAUUAGUGGUCCCAAACUUCUUUUAGACCUACUGCCUGGAAAAAUUAUAAGGUACACCAAAAAGUUACAAAAAAAAAAAAAAAAAAAACAAAAAAAACAAAAAAAGAAAUAAACCAAGCCUAGCCUAGAUGCUUGUUGGUUGGUACCCGAGAUUCUAAGUUCAAAAUCUAAUUACUUCACAUUUUCAAUUAAGUUUAUUUCUAAAAUUAAUAAACGAAGCACAAAACAAAAACUUUCAAUUUAUUUGGAUAAUUUAUUAAUCCUAUCCUACUUAUUUUAGAAAAAAAAGUUAUAAUAUUUAAUAAGAAAGAACCAAAAGAGUCUAAUGGAUUUAAAAAAUUAAUAAUUGGAGGAAAGGAAAUUCUAACUAGCUUAUCAAGUUGCCUCAAGAUAUGAAAUUCAAUAUGUAUGUGACGAUACCGACCGUCCCUAGCGCAAGUGGUAACAAGGCUUGAUGGUUGGGAUCUGUGACCCAAUUCGAAUCCUUGUUGAUUCACAUUUUCUAGUCAAGUUUAUUUCUAAAUGAAAUAAACGAAACGAGUAGCAUGCUAUCUUUCUCUCAAAAAAAAAAAAAAAUCUGUAUGUGACGAUAAAUUCGACAUUCUCAAAUAGAUAAUUUGAAAAACUCUCUUGUGCGCAAUUUUUGGCAAUGUCACCUAUGCAUCAAAUUGUAUGGGACCAUUUCCAUUAACUUCGCACGAGCAUUAUCUCGAAGUAGGUGUCUAGGUGAUGGAAAGUGUUUGGGGGUAAAAUGUACGGCCACACCCUCAACUACAGGCCAUUCCAAGCUUGGAUCCCAAACAUUUCCUCUUUUUUUUUCUGAUAUUUUUUUUGUUUUAAAUUUUUGAUAAAUUGAGAUGUUUUAGUGAAAUACAUUAAGAAUUUUAUCAGAUUUUCCUUGACUCCAUAAGAAUCAGAACUAAACGAUGUUUAGCAAGGUAAUAAUUCAUCUUGUUUUAUCUUAAGAACAUGGUUAUAACUUAUAAGCGGGGAUGAAGCUAGAAUACAAAAAGAAACUUUAGCAAAUAAACAAGAUUUUACCUAAUUUAAUAUUUUAAUAAAAAAAUUUAUUAAUUAAAUAAUUAAUAAAAAUAUGAACUUUAUUUUUUUUCUAUUUUCAGACGUUUAACUUCUAAUUAAUUAUUUUAUUUAUAUUAUUACAUUCAAAUAACUUAAAAAUUUUACAAAAUCUAACGGUGAUUUCUUAAUUUUUAGUAAAUAAAAUUAGCAUAGCUAUUAAAUUUGGUGUAAUCUUUUAUAUAGUUAAAUAAAAUAGCUCAACUAACAUAGUUAGAAGUUAAAAAAAUAUUAAACGAAAAUUAUAGAGCGGAGAAAUAUAUUUCAAAAUGCUCUAUGAGUAAGUGGCUCUUAAUAUAUUUUCACUUACAUAAAGAGUAUACAAAUAAGGAGAGGGAGAGUUAUACUAGCACCACGAGCUAUUAAGCAAAUAUUAAAAAGCUAGGAGAACCACGACUACCCAAAAAAGAGAGCUGAAUAAAUACCAAAAAGUAUUGAGAAAAUAUUAAGAAGUUGGGGGGAGCCAUGGCAACUUUUUUUUUGUUUUUUUUUUUUUGUUUUUUUUUUGUUUUUUUGCUUUUUUAUUUUUUUUCACCUUUCGUUGAGGCCUUGCUGCCUCACCCAUGUAGCUUAAUUCACUUACUGAAUGAAUAAAGUGGGUAACGCGCUACCUUUCUCUCAAAAAAAAAAAAAAAUGUGGGAGCCUAAGAUUUAUUUUGGUAUCAUGUUAAUCAAGAGAUUCAUAUAUUAAGAAAUAAUUUACUAAUUUAAAAUCAUUUGUCAUGCAAAGUAUAUCAAAUAAAAAUGAAAAUACAUGAUGUACGUGGAACAUAAUAUUAGACACACAUUGGGUGCAAUUCUUACACAGAUGCACUUUGCCUGUCCAUAAUGGAUGGCUCAAAUAGAACUACCGGUCUCGCGCUUGGAACUAUAGAGAAAUUGGGCCUUAAUGUCUCUCUUGAUUGAUAAACUAUUUUAUCUAGUUUCAUAUAUUAUUACAUAAGCUAUUUUAUCUAGUUACAUAUAUUAUUAGGAAAUAGAUCCAAUUUCAUUUGUUCCUUCUGUUUUAAAUAAAAUAGAUAUCAAUCACUAGGCGAAGCCUAAAUAUGAUAUUCUCUAGCUACUUAGAUCUUAAACAUCAUUAAGGUCCUAUUUAAAUGUCGGAAUAAGUUAUUCCAAAAUAGCUUAUUAGGUAUAAGAAAUUUCUAGUGUGAUUAUAAGAAAGAAGCUUUUUUUUUUUUUUUUUCUUGAAAGACUUUGAUAUCCAUAAUUUGAUAGAAUAACAUAUUUAUUUACGAGUGAUUUGUCUUAUUCGAAAAAUGGCGUAAAGGGUGAAUUUAUACUCAUUUAUUAAUAUUUGAUCACACACCUCAUGUGUUAAUAUGUUUUAACUUUUCAUACAAAAUUAAAAAGAUAUACCGAAUACGAUAUUUAUACAUUCAAAUCGGGUUGAAGUUAUAUAUGACGGUAUCAAUCCAACUCGGAUUAAACUUAAACUAAACCAAUUCAUUCAAAAAAAAAAAAAAAAACCAAACCACACCAAUUAAAACCUGUCUUAUUGGAGAACCGCCAAAGAGGAUGGAGCGGGGCCAAGUCUCUCAUGGUGCUACUACUAUAUAUGUGGGCUAAGAGCCAGGUCGAUCCGUAUAGAAUUUUUUUUUCACAAAAUUAUUUUUAUAUAGAAUAAAGGUUUUUUAAUAAAUAUUUUUUAUUUAUGGUAAAUAUCAAUGACCAUUUUUAUAUACAUUUUUUAUAUUUAUUCUUCAUUAUACAUUGGCUUCAUAGUACUAGCUAUCGUCUAACACAAACACUUAUUUCUAGAAUACGCGCAUACACAAUUGCCUUGCAUAAGGAGACAAAUGUUCGAUCCAUUUUGUAAUACUAAUAAGAAACAGUACUAGAUCACAGUAAUUAAGGAGCACACUCUCUAUUGUAGAUCUUUAAACUAGCUUACAUACUCACUGAACACACCGAAACAUAACAGAAAUUAACCACAAGGUCGAAGCAAGCAGCUGAACAAAUGGAUGCGUACAUGCAUCCUUAUUUAUAACUAAGCAAAUAUGAUAGCAAACUGCAUGCAGUGCGUUGCUAAUCAUCACUGCCGACCUACACUGAGCUUCGACUUUCAAAAACAAUCUAAAUGACUUCGACACUGGGCCCUGAUUGUAGAGUGGGAUAGAGAGGGUCCAUGGCGAUUCCACAUAAUCCAAAUGACGAUGACACAUCUCUUGCCAAGCGGAUGUAUCCACCCUCACCCCAUCCGGCACCCCAUGAGUUCCUUACUAUCCAAAAUUUUUUUCCGCUGCUAUCCUGCCCGUAACCUAUAAUGACGAUGGCAUGAUUGAGUCUAGUUCCACAAGGUCCGGUAAACACACCGCGCUUGUAAUGUUGAAAGUUUCCACUGGCAUCGAGAGCAGCAGCUAUUGGUUGAUUCGACACAGCGUACAUCAUGUUGCGUUCGUUGUUCCUCUGCACAUAUGUAUAGCGAGUAAUAUAAGCUGAAUUGGGCACGCCAUUGGUCUUGCAGGUACCUUUGGCUGCUUUGUAAGGGUAGAUAGCUGCGGAUGCCACGCCCUUGUUGGAUAUGAUGAAACUGUAGGCCUUGUUUAUCCAGCCGCCUUUGCACCCGUAGCUUACAGCACAAUCGAGAACUUGCUGCUCCGAUAAAGAUACUAAGUUCCCUCUUUUGAUCUUGUAGAUUGAUUCUACCGUCGCAAUUGAAGCGAAUGCCCAGCAAGAACCUGUGCCGAAACAAAGAUUAAAUCGUGUUAGCAUAACAAGUGUAAGCAAAGUUACAUAUAUAUGUAGGUUGCCAUGAUAAAAGAAAGCAUUCAAACCAAUUACCUAAUUAGAUGAUACUUGCAAGUACUUAGCUGCUUUUAACUUGUUUUCAAUACUUGUCAUGCAUAGGGGAUGUCCCGUUCUUUUUGACUAAAACGUAUUUUGCUUACUUUAAUAAUAUAAUUAUUGUAAUAACUUAAUUAACAAUAAGAAAUUCAAUAAUAGACCUAACAUCCAGAUGAGUUGAAUCAAGUCGAAAUCUAUAAAUGUUAUGGUUAAGUCUUUAAGUGUGUUGGAUACAUUCUUUUUAUCGCCACUUUUUCUGUAAUAGUUGAUUAUCACUUACCAUCCACAUUCGAUAGCUAGGAUGAUUUUUUAUUAACUAGAUUCAAUAUUUCGACAAUUUCCUUGUAUGAAGACUGAUAAUGUGUCCUAAUGAAUGUUUAGACACUUUUAAUUUGAUCGGCCAAAAUAAUGGACUUGUUGGGUUUUAGUGGGUGGAAAUUUGGUCCUUUAGUCCAAAAACGGCAGAAGGCAUAUUUGGUGAGAUUUGAUCUAAACAACAUGUUUAAAGUUAACUAAAAGAAUAGGUAUUUGUUCCUAGCUGAAAAAAUGAAGUUGCUUUGACAAUUUAUAGUCCACAUUAAUCCUUACCACAGCGGCCUUGGUUCUUGACACUUGUUACGGCACCAGAGUCUCUCCAAUCAAUACUUUGAGGCACCGAGGAGAUGUCUACGUCAUCAAACGACACCACUGGCUCUCUCUUGAUAUUUAGUGGGAGAGAUAAACCAGUAUAUUGAGCAACAAAUUCGUUAUUUGUCAUAUCGGUAAAUUGAUUGAUACCGAGAGUGUACGAAUUUCCGUUGCGAUUGUUAAAGGUUUCGAUAUGGUUCACGUUGUUCUUGAAUAUCUGAAACCGGAGCAUCUUCUCGUCGUUGUCCUUGUAAACUCGGCCGUACUCCGCCAUCCAUUCUUCAAACUGCUUCAUCAUGGGAUCACUGGGUUCGUCACAAGAAGCUGCCGAUGGCGAAGCCCACAUCACACAGAGAAACAAGAAAAGAAACACGAGUUGAACUUUGGAAGUCAUGCUUAUGUAGCACUAAAUAUCUACUUUUAUGUAUGAGGAAAUUGGAGAUCGAGCUUCAAGAGCUUUUGUUGCUGAGAGUAUGGCCUCAAGAUCGAGUUUAUAUAGAAGUUGGAGUAUUAAUAGGUGGAGGCCUACAAGAUGGCAUAAAUCACCAUCAAAUUAAAAUUAAAUAGAUCUUGACCGCUUAUGACACCGCGUCAUUUGGUCACGCGCUAAUCAUGAAAAAGAUAAUAAUGUUUCUCUACUUCUCUCACAUUUUAACUUUAUAAUUUCUUUCAUAGGGCAUAAAAUGACUAAUUAAAUAGAUCUUGAACCCUCCUCGCCAUAAGAUCAUCUUAGGUGCAAGCAAAAAGGAAUGUACAUUUCUCCAUUUCUAUCUUUUCACUCUCUAACUUUAAUCUUUCAUGCAUAGGCUAUAUAUAUUCGUUCUUCUUGUUUCUUUUUCCGUUGCAUGAGCAGGACCAACCCUAGAAAUAAAAACCUGAUCUGUAGUUUAGUCAAAUAUUGCUUUAAAACUCGAUCGAUCUGUAAUUUGAAAAGUAGCCAACUUUGAAACAGCAUAUAUAUAGUUGCAGCUCAAGCGGAAAAUAAACCAACUAAAAGCUAAGGUUCCCUUUAGAAUUGCAGCCACAUUACAUUGCGUACGGUAAGAAAUUAAAAAUAUAAAAAUAUUUUAUUUAUUUUCAUUAGUGAUUUUUAAAAUAUAAAUAUUAAAAAUAUUAUUUUCUAUACUAUAAACUUUAAGAUUAAUGAUUAUUUCACAUCCUUCUACUCUAUAUCAAUUGAAGGACUUGUGGCUUUAAGUUCUGCCCAUUUAAAAAUAUUCAAUAUUUUUAUAUAUAGGAACCCGGCGUCUCCCAAACUAAGUAUUACCUAUUCUAAUACUAUGCGAAAUAACAUGACACAGCGGUUGUUCUCCAAAAACUUAAAGAUGCCUCAGAGGAUAAGGCACUAAGUUUGAAUCUUAUCGGGCAAUAAUUUCAUCCAAUUUCUUUUAAUUUAAUUUAAUUUAAUUCAAGUUCACAUUUUAAGUCUACUGAAAUUUCUCGAACCUAAACAUGAGGUAGAGUGUUAAUUUUAUAUAUAUAUAUAUAUAUAUAUAUAUUGUUAAGAUUUCGUUAGAUUUAUAGAUUAAAUUCUAGUUGGAUAAAAAUUAAUAUUUAAAUUUGUUGGAGAUAAAUUAAAAUUUAAAUAUUAUUUAGAGUAUGAAUCUAACUAGAGUAGGAUAAAUAUUUAAAUCUAUUGGAGAUAAAUCAAUUAAGAUUUAAAUAUUUAUUGGAGUAGAAAAAUAAAUAUACUAGAAUUCGGGUACGCUUUGAUAUAAGCUUUAUAAAUAAAUUCAUCAUACUUACUCGAUCCCAAUUCAUUCGUUUUCCUUAUAAAAAAAAUAUUCUACAAUGUCAUUCUCUCAACGAUGUCUGAGUGCAAAUUAAACAUGUAUUAAACCAAAAAUCAAAUCACGGAUUAUAAUUUUUUAAUGCAUAAAUCUUUUAAACUUUAUAAAAUUAUAUCAAAUUAAUUAAAUUUUAAUUAAUUUUAAAAUUUUUUAGGGGAAAAGAUGCUUAGUUAUCUGUUUUGUACAUUUUGAGAAUUUCUUUUGGCACCGACCGUCACUAGCGCAAGUGGUACAGGGUUUGGUGGUUGGUAUUGGAGGUCCCAAAUUCGAGUUAAGUUUAUUUCUAAAUGAAAUAAACGAAGCGGGUAACAUACUAUCUAUCUUUUAACAAAAGGGGAAACUUCAAAUACCCGCCUGUGGUUUCGUACUUUCUCACUUUAGUACCCUGUGGUUUAAAGUGUAUCAAGUUGGUACCUAGCUGUGGUUUCGUAUUUUUUCACUUUCGUACUCUGUGAUUUCAAGUGUAUCAAGUUAUUAUCCUAUGGUUUCGCACUUUCUCACUUUAGUACCAUGUGAUUUAAUAUUUUGUUAAAUUAUAUGCCUCGAAAUGAAUAAUAAAAACAGAAAAUUGAAACCACAGGGUACUAACUUGAUACAAAAAUAAAACCACAAGGUAAUAACUUAAUACAGUUGAAACCAUAUAGUACUAAAGUGAGAAAGCGCGAAACCACAUGGUACUAACUUGAUAUAUUUUAAAUCACAAGCUACUAAAGUGAGAACGCAUGAACCCAAUGGGGGUAUUUGAAGUUUCACCUAAAAAAAGAAUUUCUUUUGGCAAAGCCUACGAGAUGUAGACCCAUGCAAUGUGUACGUGUGCAAACGUUAAUUUCUCUCUUAUCAAUCGUUAGUAAAGUUGCGAGGGGAACAACUUUUAUUGCAGCUGAUGUGUUGUUAUUGGAAUUAUCGGAGCAUGUGUUGCCCAACGGGAAUAGGGCUGAUAAGAGACGUGCAUGAAUUAAAAAAGUUAUAUUUAAUUUUUUUAAAAAAAUAUUGUUCAGAAUAGUUGUUUAGCAUUAUGAAAGAAUUUUUUUUAAAAAAAGUAUCAAUGCCACGCUUAUGUAUUAAAAUGCCCUCAUAAAAUGAUAAUAUCAUUCAUGCUCUUUUAAAUGGUCAUAAAUCUUAUAGUAAUUAGCUCUAGUGAUUAAUUAGUCUCUACCGAAAAAUCUCGUCAUUAAUUAUUAUAAAAUAUUUAUUUUUUUACCAUUACGUACUAUUAGUAUAAUAACUCGUGCGAUGUGAUAAAUAGAUAGUUAAAGAAAAAAUAAAAAAUGGCCACAAAAAAGAGUAAAUAACAAUGGAAGACACUACAACAGAAUUAGGUUAUAGAAACACAUGUUUGGAACACUUUUGAGUAAGUAUCCCAUUUAUACUAAAAUUUAAAAAAAUAUCUACUAAUGCCUAAAUAUAAAGCCCAAUCCAACCAAAAAUAAAAGAUUACUUUACUCAACCCACCACACCCAGUCCAUUUGGCCUGAUUACAAACAGAAAAAAAAAAGAAAAAUUAAUUACCAUAUUUUCUUCUCGCUUUACUCAAUCCACUGAAAUUCUAGACGAAGAGCCAUUCCUGUCGUCCUCCUCCGCCACCGCAGCCAACGAGAUAGAGUUUCGGCGGUUGCGAAAUGCUUAAAUAAGUUGUUGGUAAAUUAGCAGCACUCUUUUAGGUUAUAGCGACACUCUUUAACUGUCACUAUAUAUCUAGCGAACCCACAUAUAGCAACACUUUUUAAAAGUGUCGGUAAUUUUAGCUAGCAUCACUUUUUUGACAUGUACCUACAUUUAAAAGUGUCGUUAUAGACCGUUUUUAUUGUAGUGAGAACUGACGAUGAGAGAAGAGAUUUAUCCUGCCGAUGAACGAAAAUAACAGUUGAAGUGACAAAGGGCUUGGUGGUUGGUACUCGAGACCCAAGUUCGAAUCCUAGUUGAUUCACAUUUUCAGCUAAGUUUAUUUUUAAAUGAAAUAAACGAAGCGGGUAGUGUGCUACCUAUCUCUCAAAAAAAAAAAAAAAAAUAGCAGUUGAAGAAAGAGGAAAUGAAAUAGUUGGUCUAAUGCAGAGGCGUGAUCUAGUUUGGUUCAAGGAAAAGAAAAAUCCGAUUCAGUUCAAACAAAAAAAAGAAAAAACUUGAGACAGUUUGGGAUAAAGCCUACACUCAAUAGUGAUCGAUUUAGUUCAAGUAUAAAAACAGAAAAAAAAAAAAAUUUGGUUCAAAGCUGCAAACAUGUGGAGCAGUGGGGCUAGUUUAGCCCAAUGCAACAGGUUGAUUUGAUUCGUUUCAAGCAAAGAAAGAAAGAAAUCAGGUUCAUUCCACGUGAAAAAGGAGAAAACUUAAGCGUAUUUUCAAAAUUUAUUAGAACUAAAAUUAGGAUAACGCUAUUUGACAUAAGAUAAUAUGAGAAAUAUUUAUGAUAUUUUUAGAAGUAUUUGUGAUAGUUUAAGAUUUUGAGGAGUAGCUAUGAAGUUGUCCCUAAAAAAAUCUGCAGUUCGAUCUCUCACAACCUCGUUUCAAAAUUUGGAAGAUCAAUCUCCUUGACUUUCGAAUUUUAUGUAGUACAAUUUUUAGACGUUGUUCUUAAGGUAAGAAAUUUAUAAGCAACUUUAAAGGUUUUAGUCAAAUAUAUUCACUACAAAAAAAACGGUCUAUAGUGACACUUUUAAAUAUAGGUACAUGUCAAAAAAGUGUUGGUAGCAAAAAUUACCGACACAUUUAAAAAGUGUUGCUAUAUGUGGGGUAGCUAGGUAUAUAGUAACAGUUAAAGAGUGUCGCUAUAAUCUAAAAGAGUGCUGCUAAUUUACCAACACUUAUUUAAGCAUUUAGCAACCGCCGAAACUCUAUCUCGUUAGCUGCGGUGGCGGAGGAGGACGACAGGAAAGGCUCUUCGUAUAGAAUUUCAGUGGAUUAAGUGAAGAGAGAAGAAAAGAUGGUAAUUGAUUUUUUUUUUUUCUUUUCUGUUUGUAAUCGGGCCAAAUGAACUGGGUGUGGUGGGUUAAGUAGAGUAAUCUUUUAUUUUUGGUUGGAUUGGCCUUUAUAUAUAGGCAUUAGUAGAUGUUUUUUUAAAUUUUAGGAUAAAUGAGAUACUUACUCAAAAGUGUCCCAAACAUGUGUCCCUAUAACCUAAUUCUGUUGUAGUGUAUAUAUUAAGAAUUUUAUCAGAUUUUCCGUGAUUUCAUCAAAUUUAAAAGUUUUGACCAUUUCUAGCAAUUGAAGCUUGAAUAAUUUACAACUAACUAGAAUUGCCCAAAUUAAACAAAUUUAGAAGAUAAAAAGAUGGUAAGAGUGGAGGAGUCGAUUUCAAAGGAGCCUAUGAUUGAGCACGUCUUCGUACACUUCUAUCAAUUAUCUGCUCACGUAUGCAGCAGCCAGAGCUAAACUAUGUUUAUCGAUCAGGGCAAUAAUUCGCCUUUUUUUUUUAAUGAUCUUAAGAACAUGGUUAUAAGCUUUAAUUAAAAUUAUAGAGCUUGACAACAAGUUGAACAAGUUUAUGACAAAAAUAAAUAUAUAUUAUAAGCACAGUCCCACAAAAUUGUGGGAGCAUAAGAUUUAGUUGGUAUCAUAUUAUACGAACGAACCAUAUAUCAUCGCUCAUGCAUUUUGACCGUUCAUAUUGGAUGGUCCAAAUAGAACGAUCGGUCUUGAUUGAUAAGGUAUAUAUAUUUUUUAAUGAUCUUAGGAAAUAAAUCCAAUUUCAUUUGUUCCCUUUGUUUUUAAUAAAAUAGGAAUCAUUCACUAGGCUCAGCCUAAAUCUAAUAUUCAUUGUAGAGGUGGCAAUCCAGCUUUGCUGCUCGCGAGUUAGUUCAUGUUCGGCUCGAAAUGAACUCGAAAUCGAAUCGCUCGUUUAGUAAACGAGUCGAACACGAGCUGAAGUUUUCAGCUCGUUUAAUAAACGAGCCAAACACAAGCCGGCGUCAGCUCGCUUAUUUUCGGCUCAAUAACAGCUCAAAUAUAUAUAUAUUUUAUAUUUAUAUAAUCUAUUUAAUUUAUAUUUAUAUAUUUAUAUAUAUAAAUAAAUAAUUAUGUAAUAUAUAUAUAUAUAAAAUUUAAUUUUUAGAAAAAAAAAUAUAAAGUCGAGCUCAAUUAAAAAAAAACUCAUUUAUAUAUAAAGUUUCAACCAUUAAAUCAAAAUCUAAUGAAUAAAAUUUUAUAAAUUUAUUUUUUAUAUAUAUUCAAUCUAAUUAAUUUAAUUUAUUGUUCAUUGGCCAACUCGUGUUCGGCUCAUUUAUUAAUAAAUCGAACACAAGUUGAAUUUUUCAGCUUGAUACUUUAACAAGUCAAUUCGUGUUCGGCUCGUUUAUUAAACGAGUCGAAUACGUGCCGGCCCUAGCUUACUCGUGUUCGGCUCCUUAACACCCCUAAUUCUUAGCUACUUAGAUCUUAGACAUCAUGAAGGUGCAGUCGGAAUAUCCAAAUAAGUUAUUCAAAGAGAAGAAUUUCUAGGGUGAAAGAAGUUUAUUUUUUCUCCUAGGAAAGAAUUUGAUAUCCAUAGUUAGAUACCAUAAUAUAUUUUAUCAAAUUUUAGAUUUUUGAUCACACUGCUCAUCUAUUAAUAUUAUGUAUAAAUUUUUUAAAUAAUAUUUAUAAAAUAUAUCAAUUAAGAUAUUCAUGCAUCCAAAUAGGGCCGAAGUUAUGACGGUACCAAUCCAACUUGGAUUAAGCCAAAUUCAUUCAUCGAAACCAAACCAUACCUAACAAAACGUCCUUUAUUAGAUAACAGCCAAAGAGGAUGGACCUGGACCAUGUCUCGUGGGCCUACUACUAUGUAGGCGGAGAACAAUGUCGGUCCACGAGAACACCUAAUAUUUUUUAAAAAAAUUUUAUUUUAAUAGAAUAUUUUUUUAAAAAAAAUAUAAUUUAUUUAUGUAUAAUGAAUGACUAAUUAUUGUAAUAGAAUAAAAUUUUCUCUUUAUUGUAAUAUUUUUUAAAAAAAAGAUUUGUUACCAAUCGUUCCUAAAGUAAAUGGCAAAGGGUUUGGUGGUUGGUAUACGAGACCCAAGUUUGAAUCCUAGUUGAUUCACAUUUCCAACUAAGCUUAUUUUAAAAUGAAAUAAAUGAAGUGGGUAGCGUGCUACCUAUCUCUCUCUUAANUGAUCUAGUACUGUUUCUUAUUAGUAUUACAAAAUGGAUCGAACAUUUGUCUCCUUAUGCAAGGCAAUUGUGUAUGCGCAAAAAAAAAAAAAAAAAUUGUUUUUCAUUAACAGAAACAUACUAGAUCACAGUAAUUAAGGAGCACACUCUCUAUUGUAGAUCUUCAAACUAGCUUACAUACUCACUGAACACACAGAAACAUAACAGAAACUUACCACAAUUAAUGUCGAAGCAAGCAGCUGAACAAUUGGAUGCGUACAUGCAUCCUUAUUUAUAACUAAGCAAAUAAGAUAGCAAACUGCAUGCAGUGAUCACUUCCGAUCGACCUACACUGAGCUUCGACUUUCAGAAACCAUUUUAAUGACUUCGACAUUGGCCCCUGAUUGUAGAGUGGGAUAGAGGGGACGUAUGGCGAUUCCACAUAAUCCAGAUGACGAUGACACAUCUCUUGCCAUACGGAUGUAUCCACGCUCACCCCAUGAGGCACCCCAUGAGUUCCUUACUAUCCAAAAUUUUUUUCCGCUGCUAUCCUGCCCGUAACCUAUAAUGGUGAUGGCAUGAUUGAGACUAGUUCCACAAGGUCCGCUAAACACACCGCGCUUGUAAUGUUGAAAGUCUCCACUGGCUUCAAUACUAGCAGCUAUUGGUUGAUUCGACACAGCGUACAUCAUGCUGCGUUCGUUGUUACUCUGCACACGUGUAUAACCAGUAAUAUAAGCUGAAUUGGGCACGCCAUUGAUCCUGCAGGUGCCUUGGGAUGCUUUGUAAGGGUAGAUAGCUGCGGAUGCCACGCCCUUGUUAGAUAUGAUGAAAUCGUAGGCCUUGUUCACCCAGCCGCCAUCGCACCCGUAGCUUACAGCACAAUCGAGAACUUGCUGCUCCGAUAAAGAUAUUAAGUAUCCUCUUUUGAUCUUGUAGAUUGAUUCUACCGUCGCAAUUGCAGCGAAUGCCCAGCAAGAACCUGUGCCGAAACAAAGAUUAAAUCGUGUUAGCAUAACUAGUGUAAGCAAAGUUACAUAUAUAUGUAGGUUGCCAUGAUAAAAGAAAACAUUCAAACUAACCCAAUUAGAUGUUAUUUGCAAGUACUGAGCUGCUUUUAACUUGUUUUCAAUAGUUGUCAUGCAUAGGGAUGUCUCGUUCUUUUUGACUAACAUGUACGUAUUUUGCUUACUUUAAUAAUAUAAUUAUUGUACUAACUUAAUUAACAAUAAGAAAUUCAAUAAUAUACCUAACGUCCAGAUGAGUUGAAUCAAGUCGAAAUCUAUGAAUGUUAUGGUUAAGUCUUUAAGUGUGUUGGAUACAUUCUUUUUAUCACCACGUAUUUAUGUAAUAGUUGAUUAUCACUUAUGAUCGAUCCUCAUUCGAUAACUAGGAUGAUUUUUUAUUCACUAGAUUCAAUACUUUGAUAAUUUCCUUGUAUGAAGACUGAUAAUAUGUCCUAAUGAAUGUUUAGACACUUUUGAUCGGCCAAAAUAAUGGACUUGUUGGGUUUUAGUGGGUGGAAAUUUGGUCCUUUAUAAAGGACCAAAUUAUAUUAUUUGAUGAGAUUUGAUGAGAUUAUAUUAUUUAGUCCAAAAACGGCAGAAGGCAUAUUUGAUGAGAUUUGAUCUAAAAUACAUAUUUAAAGUUAACUAAAAGAAUAGGUAUUUGUUCCUAGUUGAACAAAUGAAGUUGCAUUGACAAUUUAUAGUCUAAAUUAUUUCUUACCACAGGGGUUUUGGUUCUUGACACUUGUUACGGCACCGUAGUUUCUCCAAUCAAUACUUUGAGGCACCGCGGAGAUGUCUACGUCAUCAAACGACACCACUGGCUCUCUCUCGAUAUUUAAUGGGAGAGAUACUCCAGUAUAUUGAGCAACAAAUUCGUUAUUUGUCAUAUCGGUAAACUGAUUGAUACCGAGAGUGUAAGAAUUUCCGUUGCGACUGUUAAAGGUUUCGAUAUGGUUCACGUUGUUCUUGAAUAUCUGAAACCGGCGCAUCUUCUCGUCGUUGUCCUUGUAAACUCGGCCGUACUCCGCCAUCCAUUCUUCAAACCGCUUCAUCAUGGGAUCACUGGGUUCGUCACGAGAAGCUGCCGAUGGCGAAGCCCACAUCACACAGAGAAACAAGAAAAGAAACACGAGUUGAACUUUGGAAGCCAUGCUUAUGUAGCACUAAAUAUCUAGUAUAUGUAUGAGGAAAUUGGAGAGUCUGGUCUCAAGAUUGAGUUUAUAUAGAAGUUGGAAUAUUAAUGGGUGGAGGCCUACAAGAUGGCAUAAUUAAAUCUCCAUCAAAUUAAGAUUAAAUAGAUCUGGACCACUUGUGACACCGCGUCAUGUGGCCAUGGUCACGUGCUAAUCAUGAAAAAAAUGAUGUUUCUCUACUUCUCUCACAUUUUAACUUUAUAAUUUCUUUCAUAGGAUAUAGAAUGACUAACUAAUUAAAUAGAUCUGGAACCCUCCUCGCCAUAAGAUCAUCUUAGGUGCAAGCAAAAGGAACGUACGUACGUUUCUCCAUUUCUAUCUUUUCACUCUCUAAAUUUAAUCUUUCAUGCAUAGGCUGUAUAUAUUCGUUCUUCUUGUUUAUUUUUCCAUUGCAUGAGCAAUACCAACCCUAGAAAUAAAAACUUGAUCUGUAGUUUAGUCAAAUAUUACUUUAAAACUCGAUCUGUAAUUUGAAAAGUAGCCAACUUUGAAACAGCAUAUAUAUAGUUGCAGCUCAAGCGGAAAAUAAACCAACUCAAAGCUAAGGUUCCCUUUAGAAUUGCAGCCACAUUACAUUACGUACGGUAAGAAAUUAAAAAUAUAAAAAUAUUUUAUUUAUUUUUAUUAGUGAAUUUUAAAAUAUAAAUAUUAAAAAUACUAUUUUCCAUACUAUAAACUUUAAGAUUAAUGGUUAUUUCACAUCCUUUUACUCCAUAUCAAUUGAAAUAAGGACUUAUAUAUGGCUUUAAGUUCUGCCCAUUUAAAAAUAUUCAAUAAUUUUAUAUAUAGGAACCCCGCAUCUCCCAAACUAGGGAUUACCAGUUCUAAUACUACGCGAAAUAAUAUGACGUAACUGUUGUUCUUCAAAAACUUAAAGAUGGCUCAGAGGAUGAGGCGCUAAGUUUGAAUCUUAUCGUGCAAUAGGUUAAUCCAAUUUCUUUUUAUGUAAGUUAAUUUAACUCAAGUUCAUAUUUUAAGUCUAUUAAAACUUCUCGAGCCUAAACAUGAGGUAGAGUGUUAAUUUUAUAUAUAUAUAUUAAACAGACCUUUCUUUAAUAACUUAAGUUUCUAUAGAUAAAUAAUUGUUUCACAUUCUUUCAUAGAUUUAACUUUUUUCAUAUUAUAAUAAAUUUAUUAUAAUAUAAUUCCUAUGCUUUCAUUAGAAAAUAAUGAAGUAUAUAUCUUUAUAUGAUUUAACUCCAACCAAGUUACAUCUACUAGCAUGCUUCAAUGCCCAAAUGGGUGCUAAGUUACAAGACAAUCCAAAAUAAGGAAAGCCCAAGUUCUAAGUCGGCACUAAAGUUAAUUUACUGAGUAAAAUUCAAUUUACCCACACCACCACCCCCUGUAAUUUAGUGGAGUUUUACUUUGUUCUUAUGUAGUUUAAAGGUUGCAUGUAACUAUCGUGUGAUUUUUUAUUUUUAUUUUAUCUAUAAAACUUGACAUCAAUUAGCAAAGUGAAUUUUUUGUUCUGUUUAACAGUAAGUCUUUACAAGAAAAUAAAAAUUAAUAUUAUACGAUAGUUAAGUAUAACUUUUCAAACCGCAUAAUAACAAAGUGAAAAAAUAUUAAACAGCAGUAAGAAAAAUUAAAAAUUACCUAAUUAAAUUAAUCAUACUUACUCGAUCCCGAUUCAUUCGUUUUCCUUCAAAGAUUCUACAAUCUCAUUCUCUCAACGAUAUUUGAGUGCAAAUUAAAUAUGUAUUAAACCAAAAAUCAAAUCACGGAUUUUAAUUUUUUAAUGCAUAAAUCUUUUAAACUUUAUAAAAUUAUAUCAAAUUAAUUAAAUUUUUUAAUUAAUUUUAAAAUUUUUUAGGGGAAAAGAUACUUAGUUAUCCGUUUUGUUCAUUUUGAGAAUUUCUUUUGACACCGACUAUUUCUAACGCAAGUGGUAAAGAAUUUAGUAGUUGAUAUUCGAGAUUCAAAAUUUAAACUUAAUUUAUUUCUAAAUAAAAUAAACGAAGUGGUACCUAUCUACGAGAUGUAGACCCAAUGCGUACAUCCGCAUACGUUAUUUUCUCUCUUAUCAAUCGUUAGUAAAGUCGCAAUCGAGAGGGGGACAACUUUUAUUGCAGCUGAUGUGUUGUUAUUGGAAUUAUCGGAGCAUGUGUUGCACAACGGGAAUAUAAAGGACUGAUAAGAGACGUGCAUGAAUUAAAAAACAGUUACUGACGAUGGAAGAAGUGACAAAAAACAAAAAGAGAUUUAUCCUGCCGACAAAAAAAAGAGUAAAUGAUAAUGAAAGAAGUGGCGAUGAGGAAAGAGAUUUAUCCUACUGAUGAACGAAGAUAAUAAUUAAAAAAAGAGAAAAAGGAAUAGUUCCGCUUAAUGCAGAGGUGUGAUCCAGUUUGGUUCAAGCAAAAAAAAAAAAAAAUCGGUUCGAUUCAAGCAAAGAAAAAGAAACACUUGAGACGGUUUUGGGUAAAGCUUAUACUCGAUAGUGAUAGAUUCAGUUCAAGUAUAAAAAGAGAAAAUAUUUAGUUUAAAGAUGAAAACAUGUGGAGCAGUUGGGUUGGUUCAGUCCAAUGCAACAGGUUGAUUUGAUUCGCUUCAAGUAAAGAAAAAGAGAAAUCAGGUUCAUUCCACGUAAAGAAAGAGAAAAAUAUGUGAAAAACUUAAGUCUGUUCGGAAGAGUUUACAUUCAAUAAUUAUUGAUUCGAUUUAAGUAAAGAAUAAGGAAAAUUCGAUUUGAUUCAAGCAAAAAGGAAAAAAAAAAAUUAUGCGAAAAACUUGAACGGAUUCUGAAUGAAGCUCUGAAUGAAGCUCACACUUAAUAAUGAAAGGAGCGUUAUCAUGUGGCAAAACUAGAAGGAAUAGAUAGAUAUCACUAAUGUCGCUUAAAUUAUCUAUAGCUAAUAUUCAAAGUUUUCUACAUCAUUAAUGUUGCUUAAAUGGUAUUCAAAAUUUUCUAUAGCGUAUGUUCAAAAUUUAUUAGAACUAAGAUUAGGAUAACGCUAUUUGACAUAAGAUAACAUGAGAAAUAUUUAUAAUAUCUUUAGAAGUGUUUGUGAUAGUUUAAGAUUUUGAGGAGUAGCUAUGAAGUUGUCCCUAAAAAAAUCUGUAGUUCGAGCUUUCACAACCUCGUUUCAAAAUUCGGAAGAUCAAUCUCCUCGACUUUCGACUUUUAUGUAGUACAAUUAAUUUUUAGACGUUGUUCUUAAGGUAAGAUAUUUAUAAGCAACUUUAAAGGAGAAAAAGUUAUAUACUAACAGGGAUCGCAUUUAAUUCGGAAAUUUGAAUGUGAGUUUUUACUUUUUAACCGUCCAGAUUUCACACUUUGAUAAAUAAUACGACUUGAAUACUCAUAAAAGACGAUAGCAUGCCCUUACCCACUUUUCUUAUGCACAAGACAUAAACUAUAAUGUAUGUUGGUGCAAGCAAAAUUUAUUUUAUUUGAGAUUUGAAUUCAUUUUAUUAACCCUUCGACUCAGUUUGUUCUACUUACAGUACGGCGUUGGACCACAACAUACAUAUCGAUUAUUCAGAUACGACUUUAUUAAAUUGCAUUAAAGGCCUCUAAAGUUAAAAAUUUAGUUUGGGGACCAUUUGCUUUAAUUUCGCUCGGGCAUCAUCUGAAAUAGGCCAUGCCAAAUUAGGCCCCGCCCUCAACUACAGGCCACGCCCUCAUCUACAGGACAUUCCAAACUAGGUCCCCCAACAUUUCUUUUUCUGUUUUUUUUUAAAAGUUUAUUUUUGUUUUAAAUUUUUUGAUAAAUUAAGAUGUUUUAGUCAAAUAUAUUAAGAAUUUUAUCAAAUUUUUCGUGAUUUCAUCAAAUUUAAAAGUUUUGACCAUUUCUAACAAUUGAAGCUUGAAUAAUUUACAACUAAUUAGAAUUGCCCAAAUUAAACAAAUUUAGAAGAUAAAAAGAUGUUAAGAGUUGAGGAGUCGAUUUCAAAGGAGCCUAUGAUUGAGCAUGCCUUCGUACACUUCUAUCAAUUAUCUGCUCACAGCCAGAGCUAAACUAUGUUUAUCAGGGCAAUAAUCCGCCCUUUUUUUUAAUGAUCUUAAGAACAUGGUUAUAAGCUUUAAUUAAAAUUAUAAAAAAUAAAUAAAUAUUAUAAGCACAGUCCCACAAAAUUGUGGCAGCAUAAGAUUUAGUUGGUAUCAUAUUACACGAACGAGCCAUAUUUCAUGCGGAAUAUAUUAAACAAAAAUGAAAAUACAUGACGUGCAACAUAAUAUUUGACGCAUAUCGGGAGCAAUUCUAUGCACAUAUGCAUUUUGACCGUUCAUAUUGGAUGGUCCAAAUAGAACGAUCGGUCUUGGUUGAUAAGGUAUAUAUUUUAUCCAGUUACAUAUAUUAUUAGGAAAUAAAUCCAAUUUCAUUUGUUCCCUAUGUUUUUAAUAAAAUAGGAAUCAUUCACUAGGCUCAGCCUAAAUCUAAUAUUCAUAGUAGGGGUGGCAAUCCAGCUUUGUUGUUCGUAAACUAGCUCGUGUUCGGCUCGAAAUGAGCUCGAGAUCGAAUUGCUCGUUUAGUAAACAAGCCGAACACGAGCUGAAUUUUUCAGCUCGUUUAAUAAAUGAGCCGAACACGAACCGGCGUCAGCUCGCUAGUGUUCGACUCAAUAACAGCUCAAAUACAUAUAUUUUAUAUUUAUAUAAUCUAUUUAAUUUAUAUUUAUAUAUUUAUAUAUAUAAAUAAAUAAUUAUAUAACAUAUAUAUAUAUAUAUAUAUAUAUAUAUAUAUAUAUUAUUUAAUAUUUAGAAAAAAAAAAUAAAGUCGAGCUCAAUUAAAAAAAGAUGCAUUUAUAUAUAAAGUUUCAACCAUUAAAUCAAAAUCUAAUGGAUAAAAUUUUAUAAAUUUAUUGUUUAUAUAUAUUCAAUCUAAUCUAUUUAAUUUAUUGUUCAUUGGUCAGCUUGUGUUCGGCUCAUUUAUUAAUAAACCGAACACAAGCUGACUUUUUUGGCUUGAUACUUUAACAAGGCAACUCGUGUUCAGCUCGUUUAUUAAACGAGCCGAAUGCGAGCCAGCCCAGCUUACUCGUGUUCGGCUCCUUAACACCUCUAAUUCAUAGCUACUUCGAUCUUAGACAUCAUGAAGGUGCAGUCUGAAUAUCAAAAUAAGUUAUUCAAAAAGAAGAAUUUCUAGGAUUAUUAUAAGAAAGAAGUUUAAUUUUUUCUUCUAGAAAAAAAAAAAAUUGAUAUCCAUAGUUAGAUAGCAUAAUAUAUUUUAUUUACGAGAUAGUUUAUCUUAUCCAGAAAAUGAUUUCACAGAUUACAUUAGUAUACAAUUUGAAAAUUUUUAUCACACUGCUCAUCUACUAAUAUUAUGUAUAAAUUUUUCAAAUAAUAUUUAUAAAAUAUAUCAAAUAAAAUAUCCAUAUAUCCAAAUAGAGCCAAAGUUAGGACGGAAUCAAUCCAACUUAGAUUAAAGCAAAACUAAACCAAUUCAUUCAACGAAACCAAUCCGUACCUAACAAAACAUCUUUUAUUAGAGAACUGCCGAAGAGGAUGGACCUGGACCAUUGCUCGUGGGCCUACUACUGUGUAGGAGUAGAACCAUGUCGGUCCACCGAAGAGGAUGGACCUGGACCAUGUCUCGUGGGCCUGCUACUAUGUAGGCGGAGAACCAUGUCGGUCCACGAGAGCACCUAAUCUUUUAAAAUUUUUUUUAAUAGAAUAAAUUUUUUUAAAAAAAAUAUUAUUUAUUUAUGUAGAAUUAAUGACUAGUUAUUGUAAUAGAAUAAAAUUUUUUCAUUAUUGUAAUAUUUUUUUAAAAAAAAGAUUUUUUUUUCAUUAUUGUAAUUAAAAUUUUUUGAUAUGUCUCUGAUUUCUCCAUCUUAUUAUGGUACAAAUUAAGAGAACGCUACAGUACUAUUAUAUACAACCCUUAGUAAGGAUAAGAUAUUGAUGUGGCUAGGUCUAGUUAGGCUAAACGGCAAGCCCUUAUUUCCACCCUAGUGUGCGCGCAUGCAGAAUUGCAUUGCGUAAAGAGACACAUGAUCCAUUUUACAGUACUGAGCAACAAUAGUUCACAAUAAUUAAGGAGCACAUCCGAUUAUAGAUACUCAAACUUACAUACUCACUGGGCACACCGAAACAGAACAGAGACCACAAUGUCGAAGCAAGCUUAGCUAUUGGAUGCAGCAAACGUCGAUCCUUAUUUAUGUAAGUUAAGCAAAUAAGAUAGCAAACUGCAGUGCAUUGCUAAAUCAUUUACUUCCGACUUAUUCGUAGCUUCAAGUUUCAGAAACCAUCUUAAUAACUGCGACAUUAGCCCCUGAUUGUAGAGUGGGAUAGAGAGGAUCCAUGGCGAUUCCACAUAAUCCAGACGAAGACACACCUCUCGCCAUACGGACGUAUCCACGUUCACCCCAUGAGCUACCCCAUGAGUUCUUUACAAUCCAAUAUUGUGUUCCACUGCUAUCCUGCCCGUAACCUAUAAUGGUGAUGGCAUGAUUGAGACUAGUUCCACAAGGUCCACUAAACACACCGCCAUUGUAAUAUUGAAAGUUGUCUCCACUGGCAUCGAUAGCAGCAGCUAUUGGUUGAUUCCACACAGCGUACUUCAUGCUGCUUUCGUCGUUGCUUCGCACAUAUGAAUAACCAGUAAUGUAAGCUGAAUUGGGCCAGCUAUUGGCGGUGCAAUCGCCUUCGUAUGCUUGAUAAGGAUAGUCAGCUUCGGAGGCCACACCGUUGUUAGAUAUGAUGAAAUCGUAGGCAUUGUCCACAAAGCCGCCGUCGCACCCAUUGCUAACAGCACAAUCGAGAACUUCUUGCUCCGAUAGAGAUACUAAGUACCCUGUUACGAUCUUGUAGAUUCCUUCCACCGUCGCAAUUGCACUGAAUGCCCAGCAAGAACCUAUGCCGAAACAAAGAUAUGUGUUAGCAUAACUGCUGCACGCAAAGUUAUAUAUGAGAUUGCCAUGAUAUAAGGAAACAUUCAAACUAACAAAAUUAGCUGUUAUUUGCAAGUACAGAGCUGCUUUUAACUUGUUUUCAAUGGUUGUCAUGCAUAUGGAUGUCCUGUUCUGACUAACACGUACUUUGCUUACUUUGCUAGUAUGAUUAUUGUGAUUAUUAUAGUAACUUAAUUAAUAGUAAGAGACUCAGCAAAUAGACUUAACGUGUAGAUAGAUUGAAUCAAGUCGAAGCUUGUGAAUAUUGUGGUUGAGUCCUUAAAUGCGAUGGAUGUGUCUUUUUUAUCACCACAUACGUGUUUCUGGGAUAGUUGAUUAGCACUUAAAGAUGCAUUCGAUAGCUAAUCUGAUUUUUCAUUAACUAGAUUCAAUACUUCAUUUCUUUGUGCAUUGAUAAUAUGUGAUAAUCCAUGUUUAGACACUUUUAAUCAGCCGAAGUAAUGGAAUUAUUGAGUUUUAGUGGGCGGAAAUUUGGUCCUUUUGUCCAGAAAAGGCAGAAGGCAUUCGGUAGCAAGCAUAUUUGAUCUAAGCAACAUGUUAGCAGCAUCUUAUAAAGUUAACUAAGAAUAGAUAUUUUACUUUUUUCUAGCUAAAGAAAUGAAGUUGCAUUGACAAUUUAUAGUCUAAAUUAUUUCUUACCACAGGGGUUUUGGUCUUUGACCUCUGUUACGGCACCAUAGUCUCUCCAAUCAAUACUUUGACCCACCGCAGAGAUGUUUACGUCAUCAAAUGACACCACUGGCUCUCUCUUGAAAUUUAGUGGGAGAGAUACACCAGUAUAUUGAGUAACAAAUUCGUUAUUUGUCAUAUCGGUAAACUUAUUGAUACCGAGAGUGUAUGAAUUUCCGUUGCGAUUGUUAAAGGUUUCGAUAUGAUUCACGUUGUUCUUGAAUAUCUGAAACCGGCGCAUCUUCUCGUCGUUGUCCUUGUACACUCGGCCGUACUCUGCCAUCCAUUCUUCAAACCGCUUCAUCAUGGGAUCACUGGGUUCGUCACGAGAAGCUGCCGAUGGCGAAGCCCACAUCACACAGAGAAACAAGAAAAGAAACACGAGUUGAACUUUGGAAGCCAUGCUUAUGUAGCACUAAAUAUCUAGUAUAUGUAUGAGGAAAUUGGAGAUCGAGCUACAAGAGCUU